AAUCUGCCCCAGACAAGUUCUGGUAAGCAUGCCACAAUCAAGAUAGUCUUUCUCUUUUCCAUGUUAUGCGUGGGCAAUAAUGUUAGAGCAUACUUGCCUAACAUGGGUUGAAGCUUUUCAUACUGAGUUGUCUAUGAAGAUAAACUCGUGGUUAAUCCAUAGAGUUCCCGUGUUUCCCAUAUUAUGUUCAUGGAUUUGGAAACCUAAGAGUUCCAGAAGGACACAUGAUAACUACUUAAAAGAGCUUAAAUCAACACUGAAGCUUUUUCCAGACACAAAAAUCAUCGGUGGUCAACUUGUUUUCAGCUAGGUUAUCUUCCUCUCUGUCUGGUCAGGAUUGAGAGGGAGACAAUUAGCAAUUUUGAUAUUUCUACAUCAGAACUCUGUUUUCAGUCUUUGACAUUUUCUGCUGAUAUUUUCAGUUCUUUGUCAGGGGUUUUGGCGAAAGGGGUGUCAUUUGUAAGAACAAGUUCGGGACAAAGAAGCUAUGUUUCAGGCCCACUAGAGAAGCUACGUCUUUAUCUAUUAUACCUCUGUGGCCUCUUCGUGUUACCAUUUGAGUAUGUGAGAAGGCUUCUACAGAGUCUAAAACCGGUUAGAGUGCGAGCCUCUCCCACUUCAGCCAGCAUGCAGUGAACCCUCUUUUUUACUGGUAAUUUUCAGUUUGCUUCCCGAUCUUUCUUGUAGAACAAAAACAACUAGCUAGAAAACAAUACAUAAUAUCCUCACUGUUUCUAUCCCUUCUUUUUGCAGGGUUUCACCAAUUUGUCGCGCUAAUGGCGUGGCACUUUGUGUUUUAAGCAGUUUGCUUACAGGAUUCUUGAGUAAAUCUACUAAAAGUUACACAAAAGAUAAUAAAUAAACCCGAAUUUGCUGUGGGAGAUAUCAGAACAACCGAUACAACAAAGCAAAUUAGUCAUAUGCAUAUGGAAGGGAAAGAAUAAACUGGAGAUGGCCUUUGCUUUUUUCACUAUAAAAAAAUUAUGCUAACAGAUACCACUAUACCGAUCUCUCUUGCAGCACAAACACAAUGAAAACAAUUCUCAAGGAGGGAAUCCUGUUUUUGCAUCUAAGGCAGUAAAUAUCGCUGCUUAUAUUAUUAUUAUUUUCAACACUUGUCAGUUAUCAAAGAUUAAAAACGCGACUUAUAAAUGUCAAAACCCAACAGAGGAAUGGCUAUUAAGGACCAGAUUGGUUGACAUUUGAUGUGGCUUCUAAAAUAAUCAGACUUGAGCUUUGCCGGAUACAUUAUUAUUUAUGAGAUAAUGAAGGUAACAUCAAAUCACUUUUAAAAGAUUUUAUUGAUCACUUAAAAGAGUCUUUGGUGUAGUGGUUGGUUUGUUGUUCUAAUAAGUGACAUGUUUAAGGUAAUAAGUGACAUGUUUAAGGUUUUAUGACGACUCAAAAUAUUUUUUUAGAUUUAUUCCUCCAUAUAAAUAGGAUUUGAUUUCCAAUUUGAAUUUCUCACGACCAAAUUCACGGAUGAAAGUUGAACAAAAAAUCUCAGUUUAACACCAUCUGUCAAUUUGGUUUGGGAUUGCUAUUUUCAAAAUGACUCUAGGUGUUAAAUAAGUUUUAUUAUUGAAAUUAAUAACCUUGAUAGACAUAAAUUUAAAAUAUAUAUGAAAAAUUUUUAUGUCAAUUUUCAAUUAUAAUUUCUCUAAAAACUAUUUUAAAAAACGAAGAUAGUCGUACAUUACAAGAUAGUCAUAGUAAAAUCUCCCUAUAAUAAUGCUUUAUUAGGAAUAACUUUAAAUUUAGUCAUCUUAAAGAAACUCAUCUCGACAUAGUCAUACAUUACAAGAAUAUAUGUUAUGUUAGAUUAAAUUAACUUACUUCCACAUAAUACAAUUACACGAGAGAAAUUUAUCAAAGUGAAUAUAAACAUUUAGAGAUUUUUAAGAUGACUUUACAUAUUUCUAACAAUGGUACAUAGAUAAUAGAUAUAUUGGAUUUGACAUGCUCCAUUGGUAAAUUAUUAAUACAGUGUAUAUUUUACCUCUAUAUCUUUGUAAUAAAGAUAAUUAAGUUAAAAAAAUAAUUUUUGUAACUCCACCUCUAUUGAGUUAUAAUCCGCUCAUAGAAACAAAUUAAUCUGGUUUCAAUAUUACAAAUAUAGAGAGAUUUCGCUGUAAUAUUUUUGAAAUAUAAGGAAAAAAAAGUAAUAAUAAAAGUUGUGCUAGUUUGUUUUGAAAAAUAUAUAUAUAUUUUUAAAGAAAACAGCUUAAAACAAUAAAAAGAUGUUUCUCACUGGAAGAAAUAAGUUUUUUAGAAACAUCUAAACAAAAUGUUCUAUAAUUUUUGAAAAUAGAAAACAGAAACUGUGGUAACAUUUAUAUUAUUCCUUCAAAAUCCAUAGUGAUCCUGGACAUACCGUAAUGUAAGUUGAUACUUGAUCGUCAUCACUUUUCACUUUCACAUGAUCAAUUCUAGAAACCCUAAAAAAUAAAUACUUGUAAUUAUUAAACAAAACAACAAAAAUAACAAGAAGAAGAAACGAAAAAUGUAAAGAACGUACCUGGAUUUGCUUGGGAGCUGCAGAAGUUAGCUUGCGUUGUGAUUGGGAAGGCGAAUGAACGAUUGAUUGAUUGAUUGAUGAAAGCAAAAAGUAGAGCAAAAACAUCGAAAUGGAAAUUGUAAGUUGAAAUGUUUUUCUAGAGAGAGAGAGAGAGAUUCUAAAAUAACUAAUUGCGUUGGUGCCAAGUAAUAUUCCAAAUUAAGCAAUCAAAGAUUCGAAACGAAUGAUGCCAAUCCAAUUACCAAAUGUACCCCUUAGGAAUAUCCCAAUAUGAUCCUCUAGCAUGCGCGAUGCAGAACCAAACAAACAAGUUACCGAGUACCGACUUACCUUGCCUCUCGAGUCUUUACUUGCAAGUCUUUCAAUUGAUGACUCAAGUUCCUACCAAGCACACCAAUGGGUCUUUGGUUCAGUGGGAGAACCCUUACACUUACAAUAUUAAAUGGGAGAGCCCUUGCACUUACAAUGUUAAGUGCAAGGGUUCGAGCCUCCAUAAAAAUAUUUAUGGAGAUUAUUUAAAAUCUUCUCUCAAUUAUCAAAUAAUUGAGUGGAGCCAGUCUAUCCCUCACGAAAUGUGAGUGGAGUGGACAGCCAUCGAAUAUUUGAGAGGGUUUAAAGAAUUUGGGCAGCGUUUUGGAGGAGUACAUGCCAUGACGAAGGUCCCAAUUGUAGAAUCUGUUUGUAAAUAUUAAUUGUAAUAUUUGAUAUAAUAUCAGUAACAGUCCUGUAUAACAGUAUUAAAAAAAAAAAAAGUUCCUACCAAGCACUCCAAUCCAUACGUCAAUUUAUCUUUGAGAAAUAACUAAUAUCAUUUUACUCAAUAUUUUUACUUAUAAAUUUUCAUUUUAUUUACCAAUAAUACAUUAAUCUAUCAGUUUUAUGUUAAAUCUAUUUAUUUUAUUUUUUAUUUAUAUGUUAGUAUGUUUCAUUUGUAAAAUUUAUGUUUUAGUUUGUACUUAAUGUUGAUUUAUUAGUUUUACAUUAUAUUUGUAAGUUUUAUUUUAUUUACUAGUGAUAUAUUAAUUUAUCAAUUUUAUAUUAGUUUACUUAUUUUAUCCUCCAUAUACAAAUCUUAUAUUCUAUUUCCACAGUUUAUAUUUUAUUUUACAGUUUACGUUAAUUUACUAGUUUUUAUACUAUAUUUAUUAAUUUUUCAUUUUAUUUACCAAUAGUACAUCAAUUUACCAUAUUUAUGUUAAUUUACUUAUUUUACUUUUUAUUUACAAGUUUUACGUUCCAUUUCCAAAAUUUAUGCUUUAGUGUCCACUUAAAUUGACUUACUAGCUUUAUACUAUAUUGGUAAGUUUUUGUUUUAUUUACUAGUAAUACAUUAAUCUAUUAAUUUUGUAAUAAUUUACUUAUUUAUCUUCCAUUUACGUUUUAUUUCUAAAUUUUAUGUAUGUUGAUUUAAAAAUUUUAUGUUAAAUUUAUGAGUUUAUGUUUUAUUUAUAUAAUUUAUAUUUAAUUACAAUAUUGAUAUUAUAACUUUAAUCACGACAAUUAUAAAAUGACCUGAUAAGAAAAUAACUAAUAUCAUUUUUCUCAAAAGUUGUACUUAUAAAUUUUGGAUUUAUGAUAAGCUUUAAAUGUUAAAAAUUAAAAAAAAAAAGUUACUUAAAAAAUCUAUAUAUUAUCUAAAAGAGUUGUACUAAAAUGCGAAAACUCGGCUCGUGCGGGUUCAACUCAAAAUGAAAAAAAAACUCGGGCCGUUUCCCCUAUUUUAAACCCUACUGGCUAAUUUUAAUAAAGUUUUGCAGCGAAGAAUAUAAGUGAUGGCAGCUGCUCUACCUUCUGAUGCAUUGCAAUGGGAAUUCAGCUGGUUUUAAUUCUCUCUCUUAGCUGUUUCUGUUUCUUUAAUUUAACAUUUUGAUAUGUAUUUAUUAUGCCAGAGUUUCAACUAAGUAUCCAUUUACUGGGAUUUUCCACUUUUUGAAAAAUGUUAAUUUUCCUUUAUUUAUUCAAUAUUACUAUCUUCCUCUGUGAAAUUCGCAAAAAUUUUAUGCUUUGGUUGGUUUUUCAAUGUGGGUUUGUUCCAUUUUGUUCAUGUACUGUUUGUAUAUAUGAGAGGUUUGGUUUCUGAAGAUGGGUUUCAGUCAAUUGUCUUCAAAGCUUUAUUUCCUAAAAGAGGAAAGAAAAAAAUACCAAAAUGUUUAAUUCUACUGUUACAUGUUAGCGUUCUUAGGUUCUGCUAUGCUUUGUAUAUUUCUUAAUGUUAGAAAGAUGUGUUCUUUUCUAAUAUGAUUGUUUAGGAUGAAUAUGAGUUGCUUAUCGAGUUGCAAUAUAUCGAAUAUAUUGAAGACAACCUGCUUCAUGGGUUUUGAUUCUAUUAAUUGUUCUUAUUUCAAGUAUGACACGAUUGCAUGGGUGUUCGAUGAGGCUAAUAGCGACUUCUUAGGGUUGACGCUAUAAGUUUCUUUUCUUAUUGUCUAGUAUCGAAACUAGAAAACAAAAUUUAAAGAUAAUGCUUACGAUACGAAAACAAAUGUUUGUGACAGUAGCUUGAACAAAAUAGAAGGAAAUCAAUAAGAAAAGGUUAAUUCUAGGAAAUCUAGACCUCCAAAAUAGUAUUGGUUAUUUGAGAAACUAAUAAACUCCCAAAAGACAACUUUCAACUUGCGAGAAUAGUAAUACUCAAGACACUCUUUUAUUGAAUAACAUCAAGCUUUAAAUAAAAUUCUAGUUCAAAGUAACAAGCAUAAAAGUAGCAAGCAUUAAGCAUGUUCUCCAUCAUGCUCCAUGAAUCCACAAAAUAAGGAACCAGCUAACAACUUAAUUUUGGCUUAUUAAAAACCAACUACAGUCAAAAUAUAAAGUAAAUAACUAAAAUAAAAUUAUAAUGGAAAGAUUGUAACAGUUUUUCUAAUUUUCUGUUAUGGUGUUUACUGUAAGUGAUGGGCGGUGGCUCAUAUUGUUAAAUUCUGGAUUGAGCAAUUUACUGGGCAUGUGAACUAAUUUGUAAUUUAGUUAUAUGUUGUGUGAACCAUAAAAAAACAAAGGGUAAAGUCAGUGGUAAUAUUAUCAGAAUAUUGGAAUUGUUCUAAAAGAUUUUUGAAUAAACUGGCAACGAGGAAAAUAUAAUAUUGGAACUUGAGUGGGUGAAUUGUUCGCAGUUUUGUUUGUUGAGGAACACAACAGAGCAUCUUUAAUUCCUGCGUUGUUUACAAUUGAUUUAUUUAUUUUUUUUCCCCUUAACGGUGGAGUGCUCUCUGUCCACCUUUCAGAAGUUUUUUUUAGAGGAACUGUACCUGAAAUGUUUUGUUGUUUCUUAGAAAAUGGUUUUUCCCAUGCAGUGACUUUGAAGUGGAUUACGAGUCCAAUGAGAAUGCAUCAAUUGUGUAUGCAGCAUUAGCUGUUGAUAAGGAGGUGAUGCAUCAUGAUCCUAAGAUCAUACCUUGCUCCUUUAACUUUAUUGCUUCUUCAAUAAAUUCUUACUUGGAUUCAAUUUCUCAAUGCAGUUGCAACCAGACAAAGUGAAAAGGCAGAUAUCUGUCGUUAAUGGGAAACUUUUAGUGUAAGUUUCUAUUCUUUGAUCAUUCAUGGUUGGAAGACUCAUUACAUAACUGAUUUUUCAUUCUUGUUCAAUAUUCAUUCAAUUUGCACCUACCAGUUUAUCAAAUGAGACAUUAUUCAUUUGGAAAUUUUGUGUGGCCUGUUUAAUUUUCAUUUUACCUUCUUUUCCUGCCAAAUUUUCAAAUAUGUUACUUAAGGAGAGUCCUUCCUCUAAAAUACCAUUUUUCUUUAGUAUAUCAAUUUUGCCUGGACUUUGCAGUUAGAAGUUCUAAGCAAUUGAGUUAUUUUUCUCGUAAGAUUCAGGCAAUAUAAGGCAGUUGAGGCCCAGGUAUUUUCGUAGCAUCUUUUUAUGCUGUUGUAGAUGAGCUUACGCUCGGGACAAAAACAAUCGAACAGUUUGGUCAAGGAAUGGAAUUAUAACAUUGUACUGUCUUUGGCAGUUGGUGAAUCAUUCUGAGUAGGAACUGUAUUACUUUAAUAUGCCUUCUUGUUUUGGAUUAGUUGACGUUUUUGUAACAAGAGAAUCUAUAGUGUUAGUUUUACAAUUUAAAUCUUAAAAUAUGGGAAAGCUGUAACAAAUUCUUCAAAGCUGUGAAUUAUAUUUUGAAAGAAUUAGCAAGGCUGACAUUGAGCAACAAUUUUCUGCAUACAUUUUAUCUUGGGCAGAAUCAUCAAAAGUAGAUGCAUCUUUAAAUCUAGAAUAAAAGCAGGUUUGACUUGUAUUAUAAGAAAUUCAAAUGGGGUGUCACGGCUGCUUCCAUCACUAGGAAAACUUGCUUAGAAAAUAUGGAGAUUGCUGAAUGCUUUGGCAAUUCUUGAUGGCAUCAAAAUGGCAGUUGAUUCUGGACUGCACCCACCACUAACUGUUGAAUCUGACUAUUUUAAUGCAGUGAAAUCAAUCUUAAAGAAGAGAGGAAUGCUCAGUUAUGUAAGAAAAGGGAAACAAUUUAUAGUCGCAACACACUCAUCAAUAAUCCCAGGAACCUCUUAUUAUUGAAUUACAAUUUUUAAAAUCCAUUCCAGAAUACAAGCAUACCUGUCCAAGCAAGAUACUCGAUGCUCUACAUCCGAAACUUCAUCAACCUUUGCAUCUGAGAGAUCAUUAACCUUACAAGUCACAGAACCCAAAUGGUCCACAGUAUUGACAGAGCUUUGAUGGCAUAAUCUUUCAAUGUUUCCACCACUCUGCAUAAAUGUGAAGAUGGUUUAUUUUCUCAAUAGAAAAUUGAAAUUAUCAGCUGUAAUUAGAGCAACUCACAUUUGUUUUUGGUCAUCACUGGUGUACCAUAGUUCAAGAUAUUCGGCCUCUGAGUAUAACACUGUUCUCAGGUUUUUCAAAUCCUGAAAGUCGCUUGAGUUAAAAAAAGACCAAAGUAAAUAUUUCCUUAAGAACUCAAAUCUAUUACAAAUUGGUGCUUUUGUAUUUCCAUAAAUGGUUAUCUACUCCAAGGCUUGUGGAAAACUGAGUAAAAUUUGGAAAUUGAUACACGAUCCCCCGUUUGAAUCAUAUAAACAAGUAUCGCAUGAUUAAACAAGAAUUGGCUUUGAAGACAUAUGCCCCUAUUUGCCAGAAGGAAAAUGCUUAAUGGCUAGAAUGACAAGAGAAGGGCGAGAGAAACGGCAGCUUGUGCUGCCGUUUCUCCCCCCACUAUCACGCGUCAUUCUAGAUAAAAUAAUAAUAAAAAAAAAUUUCUGCCUCACCAAGAAAACAUAAAUAAAGCAAAAAGCUAUGCCAACAUGUGGGGAUAAUAAUAUCUGCUGCAGCCAAAACGUCGCCACUCUACUUAGAAACAAAAACUACCCUUUUCUUCUGACAUUCUUCACUCCUUCUGAGCUUCUUUACUCAAAUCUUCCACUUCACUUAGAAACAAAAAGCUACAUUUCUUCUGAGCUUCUCUUCCAGGAGUGGGUGAGAGUGGAUAAGCUAAUAUAGUUAAGCAUGUCCGUUAAUUGAAUCCUUAAACUAAUUCAGGGGAAAAAUUAAAAAAAUAAAAGCAAUUAAUUGAAAUUUUGUCUGCUGAAAUGUACUACCAAGUUCUCUGUUUGAUUCAAUAGAAAUGCAAGAAGUUCAACAGUAGUAAAUAUGUGGCGCCGCAGCUACAGUGAAAUUUAGAGAAAAUCUUACUUCUUAUUAGACAUGUACAUCUAUGUAUAUAAACUUAAGGAAUCCCUUGUGCAGGAAUGGGGCUUUGAACUUCCAGAAGAGAUCAUUACCAACAAUGCAACAAUCAAACGCACUAACUUUUUACCAUCAACGGCUUUAGGUAAAGUUGGGGGAGAAAAAGUUCUUGGGAAAAUUGAAACUCCGUUUGAGAAGAUGAAAGUUGCUGCUUAUACACUUAGUGCUAUUUCACCCUGCAUGAGGCUCUUUGAAGUUAUCGCUAAAGAGAUCCAGGCUCUUCUAAAUCCUGAUGAUGGAAGUCACUUAUACAAGAAAUUGAUUGACUAAUUGGGCGAUGACCGUGUCAUCGGCGGUGGUUGUGUCGUCAUCAGCAGUAUUACUAUUGAGAGAAGGAAGAAAGUGGCGAGGACGGAGGGGAGUGGGUGAGAGUGGAUAAGCUGUUAGAGUUUUUGAUUUCUUAACGUUUCUCUAUUAUUUUUUAUUAAUUUAUUAUUAUUAUUAAUUUAUUUUAUUUUAUUUUUUUGUCUGGAAGGGCACGUGAUGCUGCCGUUUCUCUCGCCCUUCGAGACACUUACCACGACUCUUGCCACAAUCAUUUUUUUGCUCUUUUCUUUUCUUAAAAGUGAAUGCUGAGGUGGGUGCAACUUUUAGUAAUAGCUAUUAGUAGCAUAAAACAAAGAUUGCACGCUGUAAAACAACUGUAAUAGGGAAACUGGUAUAGGCAUCUAAUCCAACAGAUUAAAACAAAAUAGAGAAACAAUAGUACCUUGAGACUAUCAGAGAACAGCAAGCUCCGCUGCCCUUUUCUUAAAAGUGAUUGAUUAUGAUGAAACAUUCAGCCUUGUAAUUAAGCCUGCUUCUGUUUGCUUUGUGUUUGGCAUUAUUACAAGAUGGUAUUUGCGACAACUUGAUGUGAGCAAUGCCUUCUCACAUGGGCACCUAUCAAAGGAGGUAUUUAUGUCUCAGCUACUUGGUUUUAUUGAUCCCACGUAUCCUAAUUAUGUUUGCAAACUUAAAAAGGCACUCUCCGGCCUUAAGCAAGCCCACGUUCUUGGAACAACACUGAGCUUCGUAACUUUUUUCUAUCGACGGGGAUUUUUCACUUCAUUAUCAGAUUCUUCUUUAUGUAUCUAAUCUCAUGCUGGCGUGCAUGAGAUUAUCUUUGUGGGUAAACUUUCAUCUGUCGCCACAAUGUAGCUAGGCACCAAUUAUCCUGUAUAUCAUUGUCGCAUGAAACACAUAGCCAUUGACUUUCACUUUGUUCAUCACAAAAUUCAAAAUGGUGAUCUCCGGGUGUCUCAUGUAUCAUCUUAAGACCAAUUAGCCGAUGCUGUCACCAAACCUCCAUCUCAUCAACAAAUAAGUCUUCUUUGUUCUACGAUCGGUGUCGCCAAUGGUAGCACCAUCUUACAGGGGCAUAUUAGAGAUACUCUCAAAGUCACGGUGUAAUUGUAUAACCUUUUUAUCAUUUGUAUAUUCGACUUUCAUAACUUUAGACUACAAUUGUGCACUUAUAAUUAACUACCUUUAGGAAAAUUUAUAAAAUUAACCAAAAAAAUUUGUCAUUUUUCACAUUUAACCUUUGAAACUUUUUUCUAUCAUAACUAGCCAAACACAAGUUUUUUACUCCAAAAUAUCCUUGUUAGUUCAAUCCCAACUUCUCUCCCAUUUAUCAAACCGAACACAACUUUUCCUUCUUGAAUCAUCACCGGCAGCGGCAAACGGCAAUGAAGACCGGCGGCGGCAAUGGUAAAAGUGAAGUUUGAUCAAAUACAACCGAAUCCAACACCAAUCCAACACGAUUCUAACAAAGUGAAUUAGAGUCCAAAACCUAGGUAAGCUAGUUGAAAAGAAAUUAGUUUUGUAGAAAUAUUGCACAUUAGGUGUUUGAUAAAACGUUACUUAGAUUAUUUAUGCUUUGUUUUUGCAUCAUCAAAGUGUUAAGAGGCGUUUGUUGAGUUGAUAUGGUGCGACAAGAGUUUCGGUGACAUUAUAUGUUGGUGUGACAGGUGCCUGUCGCACCAAGAGAUGGUUGCACCAACACUGUCUCUUGGUGCGACAGGGUGCAACAUGCUGUCUGUCGCACCUGAUCAGGUGUUAUACCUAGCCAUGGCCGGCACCCCACACCCCCACGAAUUUGCUCAUCACCCACACCAACUUCACCCAAGCCACCAACAUCACAAACUAUUCAAUCUUUCCUUACCAUCACCAACAAAACAAAAAAAAUAACAACAUAAAAGAAGAAAAGACAAUAGAACAUGCAAUAAAAUUUAGGAUUUUUGAACUAACCGUUGAUUUCAGAUCUUAGCUAAAAUUUUGGUGACGUUGGUUGCUGAGAAUUGACUCCAGAAAGUCGCCGGUGAUGAGUGAACUUGGGAGAGAAUCAUUCGUUAGAGAGAGAGGAAGCUUGGUGAAUGAGAGGGGUAUUUUCGCCACUUUGCAUGUUGUUUGGGUAAUAUUGAUAGAAAUAAAUUUGGAGGGUUAAUUCUGAAAAUUGACAAAAAUUUUAGGUUAAUUUUGUAAAUUUCCCUUCUUAUUUCCUUUCUCUAUAUUAUUUAUUGUAUAAACCUAACAAAUUGCAGCCCUUUUUUCCCCAAAUCUGACACUUUUUUUUAUAAAUUUAUUUACCCUAUCGUUUGUCUCACUUUUUUCUUUUUAUUUUCACUUAUUUCGUUACCCAGCCCACAGUUUCAUAGACUUUGUCCCGGCCCCGCACUCUACUUUUGUUAUUUUUAUCAAAUCAGCAGCACUAGCAGCACCAUGUAAUUAUCUUUUCAGACCCCCUUCUGGUGUAUCAGAGAAGCCCAAUAACAAAUACAUCCGCAAAAUAUCUACCAAAGAUAUCUCAACAAGCUAGUCAAGCAGUGAAUGGCUCCAUUCCUUAAGCACAUGUUUGGUUGGAAAAAAAUUGGUAUAAGCCCUUGUUUGGUUGGAAGAAAUGAUAGGAGAGGAGAGGAAUAAAAAGAAAAGAAUGAGAGAGAAAAUGAGUGUAAAUGAGGGUCAAUUUCAUUUACAUUGCUUUAUUGGAUAUGGAAUUCUAUCUUUUUCCCCUUAUUUCUUUCCCCUCUCCUCAUCUCUUCUUAUAUUUCUUCAAACCAAACAUGUCAAUUGACGACCUGUCUGGUGUCCCCUUGCCUACUCAUCAUGCCAAUAAAGAUUGAAAUUAGGCCAUUUAGAUUAAAGAUAAGACGGAAUGGAAAUAUGGAAUCGUUAAUUAUUAUAGCUAUGACCCAUCUAAUUUGCAAAUGGUUCUUUCCCUUUCAAUAUUAUUGGACGUGUUUGCAAGGAAACCUCUUCUAUCUUUCUUGCAAUUAAGACUUUUUGAACGUGUAGAAGAUAACAACUUGAAGACUUGAGAGAGAGCCAGCGUUAAUUCAACGUCAAGAGUAGCUUAUUAGCUUGCAGGAUUCUUGAUGUUGAGGGGAAAAAAAGGGUUCGCAUAUGCUGGGUAUAAGGUCUAUAAAACUUUAAUUAUUUCAUAAAAUUGUUCUAUUUUUUAUUCCUCAUCACAUUGGGGAUUACUCCCCCAGUGGCCCAUUUUAUUUUCAUUUUUAUGUAGGUCAGUAGUGUUACUGGAAAUCAAAUAUUGUCUCUUUUUUCUCCACUUAUUGAGGAAUAUGGAGAAUUAAACAAAAAUCACCAAUGGCCUAAAAUAUACAAUGAAUAUUUAUUAACAGAUUUUAGAUAAAAUUAAUUUUUGAACCGAUUGAAACUUCCAAAAACUCAAAUUUCGAAUUUGUUAUAAAAAUAGAAUCUAUUUUAUUUAUCAUUGUCAAAUCCUCCUCUAUAGCACAUUAGCAAAUUUGCAACCUUUCUAGCUUAAAUUCUAGGUUCAAAUCCUUGCCGCGGAGUUAAAUUUUGUUACAUUAAAAUUUUUGCACAGAAGUUUGAGCUAAAUCUUAAAGAUGAAUUAUUUUCUAAUUACUUUUUUUGUGGUUCUUUUAUAAAGAAGACAAAAUUCUCCACAAGUUUCGGACCCCACCCCAAAUGGCGUGAAUUUUAAAUAUUUUUUAGAAAUGGGUUGAGAAAUGGAUAAAAAAUAAUCCCUAAGUUUUUAUGGGGUGAACUUUUAAUUAGAUAGAAACCUAUCCGUUCAAUUGAUGCUGAAAAAAUAAAAGUUUUGCAGGAUCUUUUCUCCUAGCAAUGAAAGAGAACCGCUUGUUUGAUGUACUUGAUGCUCGAGUUCUUAAGGAAGCCAAGGAAGAACAGAAAUACAGAAUAUUACGGUUGCUAUGCUUGCAAAAAGAUGCUUGAACUUCAGUGGAAAGAAGAAACCUACAAUGAAAGAACCUUAGAAGAGAAUGAAAUGACAACAGCAUCCGAGAAUCAAGGCAGAGAACAACCUAUAUAUUCAAUAUAAUUUAAAAAUUAUAUUGACUAAUUGUGUUAUUCAAUCAAACCUUAUUGACCAAAGGAACAUUUACCAAAGAUAAAAAAAAAAUUGUUUUGACAAAUUUUGGGGUUGGAAAAAACAAAUCUAUCUAGAACAAUGAAUUUGUAUUUUUUAGGGAAACGGGAUACCUCACUGGUUUGUUGUGUGUGGUGCUUUUGAAUUUGGAGGAGGUGAAAAUGGAAGAGGGAAGUGGUAACAAUGGUGAAAGGUCAGAACCAAGAGAGAUGUCCUUCAAAACGAGCUUCACGCCUGCAAAACAAUGAAAUAGAGGUUAGAGGUAAAGCCGAGGUAUCCCGGCGUUCACACUCCAAUGCCCAAGUUAGCAAACUCAAGCUUUUUAUGGCCAAGAGAGCUGGCCAGCUCUCUGUAAAUCAAGGUUUAAGGUUGAAGAAAACUUAUUUUGUGGAGUGUGAGUGUUCAUGGGUGAAUCAGAACAUGAUGGAGAAUAAAACCAGACACCUUUAUAUAUGGAGUACCUCAGCUGCCACGUGGCGUAUCCUUUUUGACUAACAUCUUUUUACCUUUAUAGGAUUUUUGGGCCGUUAUGUACAUGUUCGCGGCGUAUCUCAUCCUUUGGAAACGUGGAGCGCAUUGGAGAGUGGUCCAGGGUACCUCUGCAGUGAUUGUCAGGUAGGCGGCUGAGGACCACUGUCCUCGGGACAAUGUCCUUCACUUUUGGCAGAGGUAGCAGCCGGCUGUCCCCCUCUUUUAGUACGACGUUUUUGAUUCCUAAUUCUAACAAAAUCAAAUAUUAUCUUUCAAGAUAUGAAGAUAUUUCCUAUGACGGAUUUUUUCAGAGGAUUCUCUUGAGUCGGACCUGUCAGGUAUCCCGAUCUAUGUGGGGUACCUCAAGUUACUCUGGAGUUAAAUGUGGUACCUCUAAUUAUGCAGGGUACCUCAAAGCAUGUCGGAUACCUCGAAUCAUGCCAGGUACCUCAAAUUAUUGCGGGUAUCUUGAAUUGUGCUGGAGUUAUUUCGGGUACCUUGAAUUAUACGGGGUACUCCAAUCUAUGCGGGGUACCUCGAGUUACUCUGUAGUUAUGCGGGGUAUCUCUGAUCGUGCCGGGUACCUCUAAUCGUGCCGGGUACCUCUAAUCACGCCGGGUAUCUCUAAUCGUGCGGGGUACCUUGGAUUACACUGAAAUUAUUCCAUUCGUCGACAAGUGGCGUUUUACUAUCUUUCCUAUUUUUCCCCCAAACAAUAUUUUAAAGCUACAUUUUGUUUCAACAAAAUGAAGCCACUCAAUCUAUAUUUUAUUCCAAUAAAACUAUGGCUUCGUUUCAUAUCUUAAUUAAAUUAUAUAAUGAUGAAAUAUUAUAUUCUGAACUUAACUGAAUCCAAUAUCAUUUCACCAAUCGGUCAUAUGAGAUGAAAGAAAAAAAUCUGUUGAAAUUAAUUUUAAAUUAAAGUUGACGAAUGGUGAUAUGAUACAUACACAUACAUGACUCAGAAUUUAUUAAAUUGAAGAUGUACUCAUCGUCUUGACGAUGUGCCCAAAUACUAGAAUGUGAGAAUGGUCUUCGGACUUUGGAGAAGACUUGAGAGGGCCCAAAGUAAUUAAAAGUCAAGAUUGGCAAUCUGAAAUUAAUCUCUGGCUUUAACAUGCAGGACUUUCUAGUCGGUGAGAAAAGUUUCUGAAUUAAUAUAGGAGCUUAUACAUGCACUUUCUGAACUAAAGAAAACUGAGUUUAAGCGGCGAAUGGCUGUGCAUCUUUGUCUGGUGUUGUUGCAGAUUAUUGUUUUGCACCUCAGGCCGAUCAAAGCAUCAGAAAGAUUUCCCUGUCCAACUGAAUGUGGAAAUGUCAGCAUCAGCUACCCCUUCGGAAUCGGAGAAGGGUGCUACUUUGACAAGGGUUACGAAGUAAUCUGCGAUCACUCUUCUGGCACUCCCAAAGCUUUUCUUCCUGGCGUCAACAGGCUAGAAUUAGUGGAUAUUCUCUCUAAUGAUUCAAGAGCCGCGGUUAGUAGUAAGCGAACAAGCAAUAUUGCUAAAAGCGUCAACUUAUCAGGUACCCCUUUCUCCUUUUCGACUGACAAUAAAUUCGCUGCCAUAGGCUGCAAAAUGAGAUAUCACCAAGGGAACGGUUCAUCUCUGUUUGAUGGGUGUCUGUCGAUUUGUACUUGUGAUCCUACUCUCUACCCUGCUUGCUAUGAUUUCCUAUGCGCCCUUCCUCGAAAUAUUACUCAUCUGUUCAAUGUAAAUACAUCAUACUUGUUUUCUCAAAGUAUUCCUCAGAAAUGUCAGUCUGUUUUCCUGGUUGAUGAACAUUGGGUCAACAGCAAGUACCCUGAAGAUCCUCAUGAUUUGAAAGAUCAACAAGAAGGUUGUUUUGAAGAAUAUAACUCAUAUUCUAUUUUUUGUAAUUCGGAUAAAACAGGUUGUUUAACACAAUUAAGCUCAGGCCAUUUAUGUCUUUGCUCUGCUGGCUACAACCUAGAGAAAGCAUAUUGCUCAGGUACAUAUUGGAUUAUGUGUUAAAGAGAAAUUUUUUUUUUUCCCAAAGAGAAUAUCCGAACGACAAGAAGAAAAGGGAAAAUCCUUGGUGCUCCAGGAGCAUUUAGAUGCUAUUUCCAUAAGAACAUUAGCAAUAAGUGUGAUGAGAAACGGAAAAUGCUAUUGGAGCACCCUAGAGUUUACUAGAGUUAAAUGUCAAAUGAUGUAACAGUCCUCCGUUGGAUGGUAAGAUGAUCAGAAAAGAGUUGUAAAAUUUAUCAUCCAAUAGAUGAUUGAAAUUAUUGAUUUUUAAAAUAUCCAUCAAAUUACUUGUAAAUGAGUAAAGUUUUCCCAUUACUGUAACUAUCUUUGUAAACAAAGAAUUAGAGACUAAAAAUGGUGGAGUUUUAUUUAGUUGUAGCCAUGAUUUAGUUUGAUCUUCCCUUUGAUUUAUUUUUAUUUGUUAUUUUCCGGGCAGGUGACUUGAUCUGUAAUAUCUCAAGCGGCUACAAUUGCUCCAAUUGUCCCGACGGUUAUAAUCGUCUCUCGUACCGUUGCAUUAAAAUUUUCAACAAAUCUAACAGAUCUAACAAAUCUCGGGUUAAAUUCAUUAUUAUAGGUAUGCAUGUCGAUCGUUUAUUUUACAUCAUAAUAAAUUAAUAAUAUUUUUCAACAUAUAUUUCAAAUGAAAAUACUAAGUGUUUAUACGUUCAUUUAGUUUGAUGAUAUCUUUCCUAUUAUGAUAUGUUUCAUUAUUGUCCUCGAGAGCCGCAGGUUGCGGUGGUGGGCUUGCGUUAUUCUUUCUACUCAUUGGAAUAUGGUGGUUGUACAAGUUUACAAAAAGAAGGGAAAUCAGGCUCAAGCAUAAAUUCUUUAAAAAAAAUGGUGGUUUAUUAUAUUACAACAAGAAUUGUCUUCCAAUGAAGGUAAUAUUGAGAAAAUGAAGUGGUUUAUUAUUACAACAAGAAUUGUCUUGCAAUGAAGGUAAUAUUGAGAAAAUGAAGUUAUUUACUUCAAAAGACUUGGAGAAAGCCACCGACAACUACAAUGCCAAUUGAAUGCUUGGUCAAGGAGGCCAAGGUAUUGUAUACAAAGGAAUGCUAGUAGAUGGACGAAUUGUGGCUGUUAAAAAAGCUAAAAUAUUGGAUGAGAGUAAUCUCGAGCAAUUCAUCAAUGAGGUAGUAAUUGUUAGGAAAUUGGUGGGUGUAGCAGGACCGCAGCUAAAAUAAAAUUGGAAAUAAAAUAAAGAACAAGCACACUAGAGGACACCAGAAAUUACGUGGUUCGGCUUUUAGCCUACGUCCACGGGCGAAAACAGAAGGAAAUAUUUUACUAGUGAAAAGGAGUUACAAGUAUUGUAGUAUUUUAGCUCACUACCCAAAACCCCAAUACACCCAAACUCUUAAAUCACUAAAAUAAGAGCUUAUAAAUUCAAGCUCUUAAACUCUCUCUCAACUCCCUUAAUUGCUCUCUAAAAUGGAAUGAAUGAAGCUCUUCAUUUGCACUUGUAUUUAUAGCAAAAUGAAGGCCAAGGAAGUCAAGCCGUGGGUAUCAAAAAACUUCUUCAAAACCAUGUUCAUCAAAGCUUGGUGGGUAAAAACCAUGUUCAAUUUUCAAAGCCAAGUGCCAACCUUUCUUGUCUUCUAGAUGCAGCCAUGCCAAACACUUCUAGAUGCAGCCAACUUUGACAGUAAUUUUAUCUCAAAUUAACCACAGAAAUGUUAAGUUGUUGGGAUGUUGCUUGGAGACAAAAGUUCCUCUUUUGGUGUAUGAAUUUAUUCCAAAUGGAAGUCUCAAUCAAUACAUACACUAUUGAUUCGAGGAGUUUCCAAUCACAUGGGAAAUGUGUUUAUCCAUUGCUGUUGAAGUUUCAGGUGCUCUAUCUUAUCUGCAUUCAACUGCAUCUAUUCCUAUUUAUUAUCGAGACAUCAAGUCCGCAAACGUACUUUUGGAUGAUAAAUAUCGAGCCAAAGUUUCAGAUUUUGGGGCUUCUAGAUCUAUAACAAUUGAUCAAACUCACUUGACCACUCAAGUACAAGGAACUUUUGGAUAUCUAGAUCCAGAAUACUUUCGGUCAAGUCAUUUUACAGAAAAAAGUGAUGUUUAUAGUUUUGGUGUAGUUCUUGUUGAGCUUUUAACUGGACAGAAACCUAUCCGUUCAACUGACGCUGAAGAGGAUAGGAGUUUAGCAAGAUAUUUUAUCCAAGCAAUGAAAGAGAACCGUCUGUUUGAAGUCCUUGAUGAUCGAGUUCUUAAGGAAGCUGAAAAAAAAGAGAUUAUUACCGUUGCUAUGCUUGCAAAAAGGUGCUUGAACUUGAAUGGGAGGAAGAGACCUACGAUGAAAGAAGUGGCAUUUGAAUUACGGGGUAUAAGAGAAUCAAUUGGACCUUCCAUUUUGCAGCAAAAUUGUGAAGAGACUGAUUUUGUGGAUGGUGACAUUACUGGACAUGAUUUCGGAAGAAAUUCAUCUUCUAGUGGGUCAAGUUUAAAUAGUGUCUCAGUUUCUGUAGAUGCCGACCCUUUAAUUUCAAACAAAUGGUGAUAAAGAGAAGAAUUGCCUUGAAACUGUUUGCCUUUCAUAAAUAAGAUUGUGAGACUUUUCCAAUAUUAUCAUUCUUGUAUCGCUAGAGUUUCUUUGGGUACCAUCAUUUGUAAUUAAAAACUUCCAAGUCAUUUCAAUCAAAAUUUCCACUAUUUCAUUGCAUGCGCUGCGUUUUCCUUUUUUUUUUUUAGGCAACUAGAGGAGAUCAAGGAAAAAUCUUUUGAAAUUAAUUUCUUAGUUGAAGUUUACAAAUGCAAGAUGAUAUGAUCUCUCGGUCUAAAGUGCAAGAACUUUAGAGCUAUGCCACCUAAUAUCUCUGAGUAAAUAGGAGAGAACAACUUGAGUACUUAAGAGGGCGAACGUUAAAUAAACUCCAGAGUGGCAUGUUGGAAUUUUAGCUUAUUGUUAUGCAGGACUUUCUUGGUAGUGAAAUAAAGUCAAAAGGAAGAUGGGAGGAAAUAAAGAUCAAUGCGCUUUCUUGUAUUUUAUGGGUUAAAUAUCCUUUUAUCCGAAUACAAAUUGAUAGAAAAAAAUACCCUACAUCAUUUGUGAGUGAAUCUUAGGUCAAAUAUAUUAAGUUUGAACGAUCCUCAAUUUUUUAGUUAGAUUUUGAGUAUGGCUUAGACCCAUGAAAUCUCUAAUAUUUUAUUAGAGCCAAAUUUAUUUAGAUUAGUGGUAAAAGAAUAAUGCUAAGGGAAUCUCAACUUGAGUACUAAUGGAUGUGGUAUUUAUUUAGUGGAUAGUAAAAUAUUUAUUUUAUCAGUUAUAAAAUUUAUUAUCCAAUACAUGAACUACGUAUAAAAUUUGAGACUCAAAUUAGGACUUAAUUGGUGGGGUCACAAUCGUUAUUGGUUAAAAAUGAUAUCCAGAGAUAACUAAUGGUAAAUCGAAAACUCUCUCUCUCUCUCUGCUAAGACCCUUUCUGCCACAGGCUAAAAUUCGCCAGCUUUGAUCAAUCAACCAGCUUGAAUUACACAGCCAUCACAUUUUCAAACCUCCAAACUUUCAAAUCUAUUUUUCAACUCUUUGUUUCCAGCCACCGUAGCCGCGAACCAGCCACACCUCUCCACUGCUACCUCCCGCCACCAUGUCGCCAAUUGCCCAUCACUAUAGCAAAAAAUUAUGCUAAAGUAGUUUAGGCCGGGGAGGGAACCAGUAGGUCUUUUCUUUUUUCCUAUUUUCUAUUUCUCUUCUAUAUUUCUUUUGUUUUAUUUUUGUAUUUGCUUCUGUUAUUGUACGUUUUUAUGUUUUGUUGUUUUGUAAGAUUUUAUACUGCUCGUGCGGUGGUCUACAUAGACGGUGUUGUUUCAAUGUCCAGAUCGGGAUUGUGUCAGUAUUUGGAUUGGAAUAGUAUGACUACAUUGAAGCUGUUGAUGGCUUUAAUAGUGGUACAUUGAGGUUCCGAUGACCUCAGGCGAAGUUCUGAUGGCCUAGGUCAAGGGCUUAUUGAGAGAUUUUCUAGUGAAUCCUAAGGUUGGUUUUUUUGUUGCAUUUUGUGGAUUUUGUUUUUUGUUUUUGGUUGUUUGUUUGCAUUUUAUUGUUAGAAUUGUGUUUUCUAGUGUUUUCUAGUAGCUAAGAUUGGUUCCUCUGGUGUUUCUUUAGAUUUUAAUUUGAGAAAAAGGACACCUACACCCUAAAGUUUGAGGAAAUGAUCGCAAAACUCCUAAGUUUUUAAAAAGGGACACUAAAAUUCUUUUUUUACCAUAAUAUCCUUUGAACUUAGUAAUUAGAAAAUUGACUUUAAAGUUUUUAUAAUUAAUACAAAUUUAAUAUAAAUAAUAUAAUCUAUCUAGUAGACUAAUAAUAUUAAAUUAUUUUUAAAAUUUAAAAUAAUAUUAAAAUUUUAAAUUAUUAUAUUUAUUUUAAUAAUAUAUUUGUAUUUACUAUAAAGAUUUUAAAUAAAUCUUUGGGUUAAAUAAAAUUUUCAAUUAACAAAUAAUAUCCCUAUUAAUAAGAUCAAAAUUAUUUUUUACAUAAUAUUCAAAAUAAUUUUAAUUUUUAAUUUUUUUUAUUUUAAUAUUAUGUUUCUAUUUAUUAUUAAAAAUUACUUUAAUAUAAUAAAAUAGGUCUAAUAGAUUGUAAAAUAUUAAAAUAUUAAAAUAAAUUUAAAAUGCAUAUAUUAUUACAUUUAUUUUGAUGCCAUAUUUCUAUUUAUUAUAAAAUUUUGGGGUCAAUUUUUUUGGAUUUAUAAAGUCAAAGGAUAUCACCGUCAAAAAGAAAUCUUGGCGUCGAUUAUUGAAAAUUUGGGAGUUUUUGUGACUAUUUCCUCAAACUUUGAGGAUGUAGGUGUUCUUUUUCCCUUAAUUUGAGAAACAAAUUAGUCUCCUUUGAUUUUAAAAUUUGCUUUAUGUACUGUACUUAAACUUGAUAUAACUCUUAUUUAUAUUAUUAUUAUUAUUGGUCCUUAACGAAAGUCACAUUUUCUUAAAAAAAAAGAAAAGAAAAGAAAAGAAAAGAUGGAAGAUAUACGGUGGAGAAUUUGUAGACUUGAGAGGGCCAGGGUUAAUUAAAAGUCAAGUUGACUUGCACGACUUUCAUGGUAUUGGGAUAAAAGCUAAAGGGGAGCUAGAAGGGAUUUAAUUACAGAUCAACGCAUGCAAUUGCUCUGUUAAAUCUUCAUUUUUUCGAGUAAAAAUAUUGAGAAUGGUUGUUCAUCAUUAUCUGGUGUUGUUGCGAUCGAUGUUUUUGCUAUUAUGGCCAAUCAAAGCAUCAAAAGAUUUAUGCCAAUAUGAUUGUGGGAAUGUCACUAUCAGGUACCCCUUCGGAAUCGGAAAGGGUUGCUAUUUUGAUAAGCGUUUUGAAGUAAUCUGCGAUUACUCUUCUGGCUCCCCAAAAGCUUUUCUUGCGAGCAUCAACAACCUGCAAGUAUUGGACAAUCAUGUUUAUGGUGUAUCCAACAUUAGGGCAAACAUUCCUGUAAUUUCUUUGAAGAGCAGCAACCUGACGAGCAAUGCUGAAGGGGUCAGUCUUUCAGCUAGCCCUUUUACAUUUUCUCCGUGGGACAAUAGAUUCACAGCCAUAGGUUGCAACAACUAUACUACGAUUAUUAAGCGACAGAAUGAUUCAUCCGUUUUUGGUGGGUGCCUUUCGAUUAGCAAUUGUGAUCCUGCUCUCAACCCUGGUUGCUACGAUUUCCUGUGCGCCCUUCCUAAAAAUAUUACUCAGGUUUCCAAUGCAGAAAUAUCUAGUUUUUAUCCUAAAAGUAUUCCUCAGGAAUGUCACUCUGUUUCCAUUGUUGAAGAAGAUUGGAUCAACUCAAAGUACAUGAAGAAUCCUCACGUUUUGAAAGAUCACGGACAAGUUCCUGCACUGUUGAAGUGGGCUGAGUCUAGAGGAUAUUGUUAUGAAGAAUAUAAUUCGAAAACUACUUGUAACAAGGACAAUAUAUGUUUAAUACAAUUAAGCUCAGACCACUUUUGCCUUCGCAAUAGGGAAACAAGCGUUGGCCCACACCGCCAUGGAUAUUGCUUAGGUACAGUUUCGACUACUAAUUAAAUUAAUUUCAUAUAUGAAGUGUAAUUACUUUAUUUCCUCGAACCAACUACGUAUCUAACACAAAAUUAGGGACGGUAAUUGCAGAAUUCGCAUAUGUAAAGAAGGCAAGAUUUAUGUAUAGCCGUGAUUUAAUUUGAUAUUCUAUUUCAUUUUUUGGGUUUGUUUAGGAGACUUGCUCUGUAAUACCACAAGCCGCGACAAUUGCUCAUCGGAAUGUCCCAAAGGUUACUUUUCAAAUCCGAGCGUUGGAUACUGCGACCAAAAUCUUAGUAUGCACAAAAAUUCUCUCAAAUUCAUUAUUAUAGGUAAGUAUUGGAAUUUGCAGAUUUUAUCGACAGAAUAACUUACCCCAUAUAUAGAGGCUCACAAACUUAACAGACUAAACAGUUCCUUGGCAUAAAUCACCUCGAACGUGCAUUAAAUAUUCUUGGCCUGGAGUGUUGCAGGUUGCAGUAGUGGGCUUGGAAUGUUGUUCUUACUAAUUGGAACAUGGUGGUUAUACAAGUUCGUUAAAAGAAGAGAAACCAAGCUCAAGCAGAAUUUCUUUAAAAGAAAUGGUAGUUUAUUAUUGCAGCAACAGUCCUCAUCAAAUGAAGGUAAUAUUGAGAAAACAAAAUUGUUUACUUCAAUGGAAUUAGAAAUGGCUACUGACAACUUCAAUACCAAUCGAAUCCUUGGUCAAGGAGUCCAGGGCACAGUGUACAAAGGAAUGUUGGCAGAUGGAAGAAUUGCGGCUGUGAAAAAAUCCAAAUUAGUGGAUGAGGGUAAUGUUGAGCAAUUCAUCAAUGAGGUGGUAAUUUUAACUCAAAUUAACCACAUAAAUAUUGUUAAAUUGUUCGGAUGCUACUUGGAGACAGAGGUUCCUCUUUUGGUGUAUGAAUUUAUUCCAAAUAGAACUCUCUAUCGAUAUAUACACGACCAAACUGAGGAGUUCACAAUCACAUGGGAAAUGCGUUUACGCAUUGCUGUAGAAGUUUCAGGUGCUUUGUCCUAUUUGCAUUCAACAACUUCUAUUCCUAUUUAUCAUCGAGACAUCGAGUCUGCAAAUAUACUUUUGGAUGAUAAAUUUCGAGCAAAAAUUUCAGAUUUUGGGGCUUCUAGAUAUAUAACGAUUGAUCAAACUCAUUUGACCACACAAGUACAAGGAACUUUUGGAUAUCUAGAUCUAGAGUACUUUCGGUCAAGUCAAUUUACAAAGAAGGGUGAUGUUUAUAGUUUUGGAGUUGUUUUUGUUGAGCUUUUAACUGGACAAAAACCUAUCCGUUCAACUGACACCGAAGAAGAUAAAAGUUUAGCAGGGUAUUUUCUCUGAGCAAUGAAAGAGAACUGUUUGUUUGACAUGCUUGAUGCUCAAGUUCUUAAGGAAGCCAAGGAAGAAGAGAUUAUUACCGUUGUUAUGCUUGCAGAAAGAUGCUUGAACUUAAAUGGGAGGAUGAGACCUACAAUGAAAGAAGUAGUAUUUGAAUUAGGGGGCAUUAGAGUUUCAAUCGGACCUCAAAAUUGUGAAGGCAUUGAUUUUGUGGGUGGCAAUUUUGAAAUGGUUCAUCUUCCACGGGCAAUUUUAAAUGCUGUUGCUUUUUCUGUAGAUGCUGACCCUUUGCUUUCAAACAAGUGGUGAUUAAAGGGAAAUUCUUCCCUUUGAAAUGUAAUUAUUUCAUUUCAAAAUAAAUUUAGUUGUGGACUUUUGCAUUAUGCUUCUCUUGUGGUUAAAAUUUCACUCUAGAUCAAAAUAUACUGAGUUUGAUGUUCACUUUGUAAGUAGUGAGUGGAGAAAUAAAUUUACAAGGUCGACUCCAACAAAGCAUCUGGUGGCAAACAUAUUUAAAGAUCUAAGAAGUAAGCCUCUAAUGCUACCAUUAUUUAGGGGCCCUGUGCUUCAAGAAACAGAGGACCCUGCACUCGAACUUUGAAGCUGAAGGAGUUGGACAUCUCAGCAUCUGAGUCUGCAUACAAGUGGAACAGGAGAUGCUGACAUGACAUCCUACGUGGAACUUAUGCGACACAUAUAAUGAGUCCAGUUCGUUCCUAGUUCAUACGCUUACAUUGUAACCCGGUUCUGUGUUUCCAGUACCAUAAGUGAAUCAUCACUUCGUGCCAUUGUAUUGCUAAUAGCAACUUUGCCUUGAUUGAUUUUGCUGACAAUAUGUACUCUACGUUUGGAACUGAGGUGCUAUAACUUUUAAUCUGCAGUUAUUGUGAAGUAAAAGUCAGAGUUGUGGUGUACAAGCUGGUGGUGUUUGGUAAAUUUUAAUAGUUGUGGAGUGGAAGCUAUGGUGUUUGGUAAAUUUAAUACCUGUAGAGUGGAAAUUGAUGAAUAUUUGUAAUAAUUAAUUUUAAAUAAUAUUAAUUUUAAUUAUUAAUUAAUCAAAUUAGUUUUCAUAUUUUGAAUUAUUAUAUUAACAUAUGAUUGUGUUUAUUACUUUGACAAAUUAGAUUAAUAUUUAAUUAAUCAAAUUUAUUUUUCUAUACAAGUUGUAAUAAAUAUUUUUUAAAACAAAAUAAUUUAAAAUUGAAAAUAAAUAAAUUCUAAUUUUACACAUUGAUUGAAGAAAUAAAUUAUACUAAAUAUGUCUAAUAAAGAUCAUACAACAUAACAUUAUAAAAUUAAAAUGUAAUUAAUUACAAAAUUCUUAUAAACAUUUCUAUUGUCAUGCCUCCAUUAAACUUGCGGCAACGCCAUCUCUGAAGAUUAUUUUAUCUUGAGCUCUGUUAUCAACUGUAUCAUAACUUUUUUUAGGAGAUGCAAUAUAGCUUAUAUGUUCACUAUUAUUAUGAUUUAGCUUAUCCAUUAUUUCAUCAAAAUGAUCAUGAUUUUGUGAAUAUCCUCUGAUGUAAUUAUGUAAGGCCAUGGUAGUAAUAACUAUCUUCACCUGCUUCUUUAAUGUAUGGCUUGACAUAUUUUGUAAAAUCUUCCUUAUUUGUUUUAAACCCCAAAAGCACUCGUUAGAGUGAACAAUACUCUCAACAUUAAGAGAUUCAGAUGCCUCAUUACCCUCUAAAGGAAACUAGAUGAGGGAAACCAAACAAGGUCACUUGUAGCCACUGCAUUUGAAUAGUUAAUUUAGUUUUUUCUCCAAUUCUGAAUCAAUACCAUUUUUUUGAAUUCUAUUGAAUUGCAAAUUUUCCUUUAUUUUCAUUUCCUACCGGUCCUCACUUGCAUCAACUGUCCUUAACCGAUGAUUCCACCCUAAAUCUGUUUCCUAGUCAAUCUGUUUCUUCCACAAUUUCCAAUUAGUUCUAAGAGAAUCCUAUUUGUUUUUCAUUUGAGUUCUAUUAUAAUCCAAUCCAAUUUCUUUAGUGAAUUCCUUGAUGAAAUAUUUAUAUGCUUGGGAAGUAGCCCUACUAGCUGAGCUACUAGACCUAAUUUCGAAACCUAAUUUCGUACACUUACACCUAGAAUAAAGAAUAAUAUUUCUUUGUCAAACAACAAUACAUGAAAGAGAUUAAUGAAGAGCGAUACCCAAUUUUUUUUAAAAGCAAAUAACACUAAUUAAGGAUGAAUUAUGUGCAGCAAUAAUGAACUAUGCCUAACAUUACACACUUGUAACACCCAAGCCCAACUUUGAGAACAAAUCUAACCACAACUCUCCUAUGUACUUAAAUAUCUCUUUACAAUUAACAACAAUUCAAGUCUUAAAUACAAUAUUUAAAUAGCGGGAGACUUUAAAGAUUUUGCACAGUCAUCUACCAUCCUCAAUUUAAGUCUUCUCCUCACUCAUCACGAAUAAAUCUUGACUUUUGAAAACUGAAUCACAAUAAACUAUAGUGAGUACAAAACUCAAUAAGCAAACUGGUUUUUCAUAUCCCAAAAUACAUACAUACUUAUAUACUAUGUAAAUAGAUAAUAUGCCAUGAUAUUUUUAAAAAACUAUAAAAUGAAUUCAUCAAAAUCUCUUUAUGUUGCUUUCAAACUUUCACAUUUUCUUUCAAUAAAAUACAUAUCAUGCAUAAGGCAUUUUGCACAAUACUUGGCACUUUGCACUAUGCGUUGCACUUCGCGGCACUCUGACCCUCGAGAGGUGGCCCCUACACGGCUUCAAGUGGUGGCCCCCAACGGAAACUCUCAUAAAACUAAGUAUAAUAGCAAAAUUCAUGUACAAAUCAUAAAAUUACAAAAUGCAAUAUUAUUAAACAUACUUUUUAUAAAAGCUUUGCAUGUUCAUGCUUAUGCCAAUGAACUUUCACACACACAUAUGCCCAUGCAUAUAAUCAUGCUCAACACAUAACAACACAUCACAUAAACACAUGGGUAGAAACAUAUAAAUCAUAUCUAUACAUAUAAAAAGUAGGUUUUUCAAACAUGGAAAACAUAUACAUAUUAAUUUAUUGUGAUCCAUUUAGAAGUCUAGUUUACUUACCUCUUGGCAUCCACAUGUAACAAAUGCGUAUUCAUAUCAUCAACCUAAAAAUCCUUUAUAAAACUCUCAUUAGAUAUAAUCAAGUCCUAAUCAUAAUUCUAAUGUCCUCAAAUUUCUCAUUUUAAACAUAUCCUAAACUCAACCUCAAAUACUCUCAAUAUUCGAUCCCAAAACAGAACAACCCAUGUUCUCCGAUUUUUGAUAAUUUAUUAUCUUAUUGGAAAAGUCCCAAAUUUUCAAGAGCAUAUGAUAACAUACUAGAAAUUCAUUGAUUAAAAUUUCAUAACUUAAUUCUUUCAAAAUCUAUUAAAAAUAAUUUACGUUUCAGACAUCAUCAAUUCUGUCAAACAACUUUCUAUUUUAAACAUACUUGUUUUAAAAAUACAAAACAAUUUAUUGUUUUAUCAUAAAAUCAUGAAAAUUUCCAAAAUCACUCUAGACAUAUAUAAAAGUUGCUAAUCCAAGUUUCAUAAUUUUGGAAGAAAUCUAGCUAUGGUAAGAUAAAUUUGUAAUUCAUGUUCUUCAUUAAAAUUAGAAAUUUUCAGGUUUUCAAAUUUGAGUUUAAAAAUCGUAAUUAAUUGAAAUCUUAUCCGUUUAGCUUGAGACAAGUUCCAAACAUUCUUCUAGUUUAAGAUAUUCAAAAUCUAGAAUCAAAAUCAAUUUGUACAAAUGGCUAUGAUUUUCGAAAUAACACUCUAUCAGCAUAUUUUUUGUGAAAUCUUAAGUUCUACUUCUAUUACCACUAUCUAACCAUGCUUCUCUAUAACAAUUAACACACUGUCAGCAUAGUUUCUGUGAAAUUUACCUCCAAUUCUCUCUCGACAUAAUAUCCAAUUUAAAAGCCACUACUUUGAUCUCAUGUGUCGCUCAUGGCUAACGAAGAAGAAGACUUUCUUUUUCUUCUUCUCUUCUUCUUUUUCUUGCGUUCUUUUUUUUUAACUCUCUCUCCCUCUCUCUCUCUCUCUCUCUCUCUCACAUUAAUAGCAAAGGAAGACAUCUAUUGGGGUAUUACAUGUUUACCCCUUAAAAGAAUUUCGUCCUCGAAAUUCGCUUUUAGUUAUGCUCAAAAGAGUCUAAACCUCAAAAUCACUUAUGACCAAUACAUCCUUAUAAAGACAAAAAAGAAACAUAUCACCCUUUCGUUGCGCUACUCUGAUACCUCAAUUAUAUAUUUCUUAGAAACAAAAUCACAAAGCCUAAAGGUGUGGCAUAGACCUAAUUCUAUUAAUCCUUACAACAUCCUUCCCAAGCGAUGCAGGAUGUCACAAAUGUCCACACAUUCCUGAUUGGGAAUGCUCUAAUACCAUUUGUAACAUCUUGGCCUGAACUCUAAGGACAAAUUAAUCUAACCAUAACUCACCUAUGUACUUAAAUAUCUCUUUAUAAUCAACAACAAUUCAAGCCUCAAAUACAAUAUUUAAAUAGCGGGUGACUUUAAAAAUUUUGCCAAACCAUCUACCAUCCUUAAUUUAAGUCUUCUUCUCACUCAUCACAAAUAAAUCUUGACUUUUGGAAAUUGAAUCACAAUAAACUAUAAUGAAUACAAAACUUAAUAAGCAAACUAGUUUUUCAUAUACAUAUAUACUAAUAUAUAAUACAAAUAGAUGAUAUGCCAUGAUCAAUUCAAAACACUGUAAAACAAAUUCAUCAAAAUCUCUUUCUGUUGUUUUCAAACUUUCACAUUUUCUUUCAAAAAAAUACAUAUGAUGCAUGUGGUAAUUUAUGCAAUCUGUGGUAUAUUGGACUAUGCAUAGCACUUCGCGGCACUCUAUCCCUCGAGAGGUGGUGUAACACCUUAGCAAAUCCUACAUUGACAAAGCACAGAAGAGAUGUUGGGUUUAUAAGAGGUGUUUCAUGACACGAUUCAAAAGUGUAAGAGUGUAAGAGUGUCUAGUUAUAAUAUAACCCGGUGAGUCUGAGGUCGAACCACUGGGAAUUUUAAAAUCUAGUUGUCAAUUUGUUAAACAGAGAAAAUAAUUGUACGGAAAAUAAAUUAUUUGAAAACAAUUUAAAAAUAUGCUAAGGUUACGAGAUCCACUUUCAGUAUUCAAACUAUAAUUUUAAUACUCACUCAUUUAUAUUUUGCCUCACUUUUACUAGUUAAUUAUUAUAUCAUUUAAUUCUAUGUGUGUGGAUAAAUAUGGAAUAAAGUACCUAAUAUGCCACACUAUAUUAAUGUGUCGACAUUAUGUCAAAAUACCAUACAAAUCCAAAGAAAUUUAUAAAUUAAUAUGACAUAAAAAUAACUAGAAAAGAAUAAAAUAAACUUAAAAACUCAUUUGAGAAAAUAAUCAAUUUAAUAGUUUGAAAUAUUGAGCUUCUCCCUUCACCUCGGCUUAAUAAAAUUUGCCACUCAUAUUGAAAGAAAACACAACACUCUUUUUAUUUGAUAUACUUUUGAAAUAUAUUACAAAGAAAAUUGAUACAGACGGAAGCAAGAAAAGAAAAGAAACAAAGAAAGAAAGAAAUUCUUCAGCUAUACCCUUGGCUAUCACUCUUUCUCAGAACUCGGCUCCGCCCCCUAAUGGCUUGCAUCCCCUUGCUUUUUAUAGGCAAGGGAAGCAUCUUCUUUUAUUUUAUUUUAUUAAUAUUAAUAUUUAAUUUAAUUUUUAUAUUAUAAAUAUGUUAAUUGAAAUGUGUGAUGGUCAGGAGGCGUAAUGGCCUCCUGACCAUCACCAACAUGCUUGCCAAUCCUUUUUAUUUAUUUAUUUUAUUUAUUUUUAAUAACAUGUCAUCGAUUGAUGAAUUCUAAAUUGCUCCAGUUGUCCUUCUUUGUUCCCGCUUUUAACUCUAAUUCCAUCUUUAGUCCUGAAAAAUAUUUACAAGAUAAAAAGUAACAUAUGCAAAUUAAUUUAACAAAAAAUAUAUUUGGGGAGUAUUAAAAUAAUUUAGAAAUAAUGAGCGCAUUAAUCAACACAAUAAGUGAAAAAUUAAUAAUUUUAUCCUUAUUAAAUGUACACUUUUUAGUGUCAAUCACACCGCCGAACCAGCUUAUUGCUAGGCCCUAGCAAUUUAAGCGAUAAAAGUUUACUAAAAUUUCAAACUCAAAUUGAAAAUCUUUUUUUUUUGAAAAAUUGUGUUUACUUCUUUCAUCUGAUUAAUGACAACAAUCAAAUAAAAGUAUAAUCAUUAUCUUCAGCCUAAAUAAAAUCACACCCGCACAAAACAAGUAAGUAAAAUCACGUAAAAUGAUCAAUUAUCAGAGCUACAUUAAUCAAGCCACUUUUAAGAAUGAUACAUCAAAUCUCAAAACCUCACAAUUAAGAGAGACUCUCUCAAAAGAAAAUAUUACCCAAAUUAAGUUGUCACUCUAAAAAUGGUAGAUUUGAGAGAAUAAUAAAAUAAUAUCACACACUCUCACCAAGAUGAAAAAAUAAUGCCCACAACUUCGAAAUAAAAUAAUCUCAAGUCCAAGGAAUUACUAGCAAAAUUAAUUUUUAUUUUUAUGCAUCACCACAUGUUUUAAUCCAUAUUACCAGCUUUUACUUCAGACUACAGUUCCGAAAAAUCGAGAAGGACUUUUAUUAGGACGUAAUGUAGGCUAGGGUUAUGGCUAAUAAAAAAGGUAAUAGGGAAAAAAUAUAUGUUUAAAAAAUAGGAGACUUUUUAGAUAUUACAAGGUGUUUUUUUUUCUUGGAAUUGUUCUCUUUUUUUUUUAAUUUUUAUUUUUAUAUACAUAUCCUCUUUUUUUUUUUUUUCAUAACACCAUUAUUAGAGAUGCAUAAUCAUCCCUAUUUUCAAACAUAAUUGGGUGGUGGAAAACAUAAUAUAUAAGGGAUACUCCACAUUGGAGUGGGAUAGGAUAAUAGGUUAUCAAAAGAAAAGUUUUUUUUUUUUUUCAAAGGCUCAAACGGGUUAACUAUGGAUUCUUUAUAAUAUGGUUGGAUAGAAAAUGCUCAAAUAGAUCAAAGAUGGCCUUCUGUCAUCUUUUAGGGCUCUAAAUAAUCUUUCAUAUCCACUAGUUCAAUGGACUUUUAGAUGUGGCUACACAAACUCUCUUUUUUUUCACUUUUUUUUUAAAAAAUAAUAUUGAGAUCUUGUACAAUAAAUUGUGAAGCUGUAUAGGCAAACAAAGUUACUCUCUAAGGAUAAUAGGCUCAAAUACUCGAUUGGACUUUUCAUAACAUGUACAUUCAUCCAAAUAGCUUAAUCAAAUUUACUCAUCAAAUUUCUCAAUUUACGUUUCAACAUGCAAUGGGGAAAACAUAGUGUAACAUAACUCAAGGCCAAAGAUAAUACAAAUACCAAAAUUUGAAAAUCGUCAUGUUAUCCAAUGUUAAAAGAUCACACCGAAAAAGAAAUUUUUUUUUUUGGUUAAAGAAACACUAAAAAAAUUGGGACUGAUUGCAGAAACUUAAGGCAGAUGAUUAAGAUAAAAAAGAGAAAAAGACAGAAAAUAAAAGGUUAGAAAAUAAUUUUUUUUUAAGAACAAAAUACUAAAAGUAAGAAGAUGCAUUUCUAGGGACACUAUAUUCUAUAUUUUGCUGUUUUCGACUCAAAUUUUAUCCAAAGUUAGUCUUUACAACAAAAAUUAGUAAAAACAUCACCAGGACUAAGAUAUUCCACAAUUGUCAACUACUCCCUCCCCUUAACUUGAAGGAGACAUUGUCCUCAAUGUCUAAAGAAAUGAAUAGAGUUUAGAAGAUAUCACCUGGCCACUGGGGAAAUAUUUACAAAUGGAGAGUUAAAUCUAAUUUAUAAUUUUUACGAGAGUUACUGCCAUCGUCAUCAGUUGCCCAAUCCAACACCAAAGUCAUGGGAUCUAGCUCUGGUUUGUAAGCUUGCAAAAGAUCAAGUAACUCAUUAGCAGUAGCAGUACAAAUGAAGAGUUUUUUCGUUGAGGGUGGAAUGAAAUAAUUUUUAAUUGCAUGAUUAAGAAAUGUUAUUAAGCCAUCAUAAAAGUUAUUAACAUUUAACAAACCGAUGAAUUUUUUAUGGAUAUUUAAAUGGGUCCAAGAAACAAAUGUAAUUAGUGCCUCUAAAGUUGCAAGAUCUCGUGGCAAGAAAAUGAAAGCGUCAGCAUGAUUUAAUAUUUCAGAUAUUCUUUAUUGCAUACCUGAGACAACUAACUCUUCUCCAGUUGGUGGGUCUAGUAGACAUCUUAAAGGUUUUAAGGUUUUUGGAAUGAUGCCUAGCACUUGGCUUCCCUGAACGAAAGCAGCUUCAGAGACAAGCUUUGAUAACCCUCGGUCACCUCCUCUAUAUACAAGAUGUAGUUUCCUCUCUGUUAUAGCAGGACCAAGAUCUAUGGCCGCCUGAACGAACUUCUUAUACUUUCCAUAACGAAAUCUAGAAAGCACACAAAUGUUCUUUAGUUGACUGCUUGAACUUGCUGCCAUUAGAAAAAUUAUAAAAAGAAACAAUUUGUGAGUGCUUGAAAAGGAGCUCCUAUUUAAGGAUCUUGGUGACAGACAUAAUGAUAUACAUCUGUAAAUGGGGUGGUGUGUUUGUCAAAUGAUGCGUGAAGCUUUUAGCUUAAUAAUUCAAAGGCAAACAGUAAAAAGAAAAAGCAAACAGUGAUUAGAUAUAAAAAAGACACACAAUAAUAAUAAUAAUGCAAAAGAUAAAAGAACAGUAAAAUAAAAGGAUAUUUACUAGUAGUUGUGAUUGUGGCUUAUAUCUUCCUCUGGUUUUACGUCUAGUAACGUCUUGAACUUUCUCUAUGGGUUGAGGAUAGGCUUCCCAUCCAGUUUUCUUAUAAAAUGACAAACAAGGUCUUUUAGAGUCAGAUUCCCAAGACUAAAUUGUGCACUUUCUUUUUGGAACAGCUUCCACAAAUUUUGAAAUUCACAUUGAACAUAUCCGCUCGGAUGCGUCUCAAGAGAUCGUAAGAUAUCAUUCAACGAUUUACAGAAACCAUUCCUAAAGUUUUACAACGUGGUUUUCUAUAAGUAAGUCUUACACAGUUAGGACAUUUAGAGCCAAGUCGCUUAGCUCUUCUUUUCUUAGCAAAUAUACUUUUACCAAAACCAGACAUGUAGGAAAUGAAUGGAUAAGAAAACUCACCUGCCAGUCGGACCUUUACUUCAAUUAACCAGCAAAUGUUUGCAGGAAUCCCAUUGAUCAUUAACAAACGUAGUCGUUCACAACGAGUUUUGUAAAUCUUCGUAAGAGCAUUUUGAGGGAGAGAAGGAAAAUGUUGAUGCAAUUUUCAUUGUAUUUCUUCCAUGCUUGACAUUGAGGUUUCAGUUAUUGUAGGAAACUGAGAAUAUCAACUUAAAAUGUCACGGUGUACCGUUAUCCGCCAUUUAUAUGGGAGAGUGAAUAAAAACAAAACGAAUGAAAUCUGCAAAAUCAAAUCAAAAGUGAAGAAGAACAACAAAAUAAAACAAAAACCCAUAAGGAAUAUAACUCACCUUUGUCCUUUUAUUGAAUUUACCUCCAGUUCCAAUUGCAUAUUGUAAAUACCAUCCUCUAUUUCCUUGAGUUGUCUUUGUAGAUCUUUCACGUGGGAUACUAACUCUGGUGGUUGUAGAUCCCAAAUGGGAUAUGAUUUACAAAAUCUGACCAAUUUCCUCAAGUGAAAUUUUACAUGUAAAAGUUCUUUAAGAUGUUCGAAAAUGAUACUUCUCAUGGAAGUACUCAUGACAAGUAUAACAAUUUGGUGAGCUAAAGCACAACUGUCAAACAAUACACAAUUAAAAACAAUGCAAUGCACUACAUUCAAGACAUAAGGAAAAGGAAAAAAUCAAAGAAUUCAAACGAUAAAGUAACAGUAAAUCAAAUUCACAAAAAGUUGAAAUGAAAAGGCUUAAUUAAAAUUUGGUGGGUCACUCAAAUUGAUUUCGGUAUCUGCUUCACGUGGUUGGUAUUGCAGAUAUGGUUUCAAUCUUUGGCCAUUAACUUUAAAUGUAGCACCAUAAUUUGGAUUCUCAAUUUGUACGGCUCCAUAUGGAUACACAUUUUUUACAACAAAUGGACCAUUCCACUUUAACUUUAAUUUCCCAGGAAAUAAAUGAAGACGAGAAUUAUAACGCAACACUUUUUGACCAAUUUCAAAUGUUUUCUGAAAAAUUUUUUUGUUAUGAAAAAGUUUGGUUCUUGCCUUAAUAAUUCUAGAAUUCUCAUAUGCAUCAUUCCUUAAUUCCUUAGGUUCAUUUAAUUGCAAUUUAUACACAUUACCAUCAUCAUCAAGAUUUGAAUUAAGAGCUUUAAUGGCUCAAAAUGAUUUAUGUUCAAGUUCAACUGGUAAGUGGCAAGAUUUUUCAUUAACAAGCCGAUAAGGUGACAUUUCUAAAGAUAUUUUAAAAGCAGUACGAGAUGCCCAAAGUGCAUCAGGUAGUCAAAGAGACCAAUCUUUACGAUUUGGACUAACUGUCUUUUCUAAAAUUUGUUUUAUCUCCCUAUUUGAUAAUUCAACUUGACCACUUGUUUGAGGGUGAUAAGGGGUAGCAACUUUAUGUGUAAUUCCGUAUUUCUUCAUUAAGAACUCAAAUGACUUAUUACAAAAAUGCUUACCUCCAUCACUGAUAAUGUAUUCCAAAUCUGCUCAAAAGAUUUUCUUUUAAAAAACGGAUCACAAUCUUGUGAUCAUUGGGCCGACAAUGAAUCGCCUCGAUCCAUUUUGAAACAUAAUCAACAACAAUCAAAAUGUAAACAAAUCCAAAUGAUGAUGGAAAAUGGCCUAUAAAAUCAAUUCCCCAACAAUCAAAUAUUUCAAUGACAAGGAUGGGGUUUAAAGACACCAUGUUUCGCUUUGAAAUAAACUCCACCAUUUGUCAAUUCUUACACACUUUACAAAAUGCAUGUGAAUCUUUAAAUAAUGUAGGCUAAUAAAAUCCACACUGUAAUAUUUUUGCAGCUGUCUUUUUUGAAGAAAAAUAGCCACCGCAUGCUUGAGAAUGACAAAAUUUAAUGAUCUUACUUACCUCGUCGUCUGGUAUGCAUCUUCAAAAAAUUUGAUUAGAGUAGUACUUGAACAGUAUGGAUCAUCCCAGUAAAAGCUUCUCACUUCUGUUAAGAAUUUUUUCUUGUCUUGGGAACUCCAGCCACAUGGCAUUUCACAUGUUGAAAGAUACUUAACAAUAUUAGCCUACUAAGUCAUUUUGUUUAUAGAAAAUAAAAAUUCAUUAGGGAAAAAAUUAUUGAUGGGUAUUGUUUCAAUUGAAGACUCAUUCGUAAGUCUAGAAAGAUGAUCUGUAACAACAUUUUCAACACCCUUUUUGUCCUUAAUUGCCAAGUUAAAUUCUUGAAGUAGCAAAAUCCAUUGUAUCAACCUUGGUUUGGCAUCCUGUUUUGACAUUAAAUAUCUCAGAACAUCAUGAUCAGAAUAAACAAUUGUGGAUAAUACGAACGAAAUUUAUUCAAUGCAAAUAUUAUAACAAGUAGUUCUUUCUCAGUUGUAGUGUAAUUCAUUUGAUCACUAUUCAAAGUUCUACUUGCAUAAUAGAUGACAAAGGGUUUACCUUUCUUUUUUUGACGCAGAACAGCGCAAAUGGCAUAAUUACUAGCAUCACAUAUUAGCUUAAAAGGUAAAGACCAAUCAGGGGGUUGCAUUAUUGGGGCUGAUGUCAAAAGAGUAGUUAUUUUUUCAAAAACUUGUUGACAAUCUUUAGUCCAUUCAAAAGGUGUAUCUUUUAUUAGGAGGUUACAAAGUGGUCUAGAUAUGGCACUAAAGUCUUUUAUAAACCUCCUAUAAAAUCCUACGUGUCCUAAAAAGGAACAUGAAUGUGGUCUUUUCCUGGUCUUCUAAGGCUAUAGAGAUUUGAUAAUAGCCAGAUAGUCAUCAAGAAAGCAGUAGUGGGGAUGUCCAGCUACUCUUUCAAGAAUUUGGUCUAGAAUUGGAAUGGGAAAAUGAUAUUUUCUAGUGGCAUCAUUUAAUUUUCUAUAAUCAAUGCACAUGCGCCAACUAGAUGGAUUCGUGUUGGGAUUGAUUCACCUUUUUCAUUUUUUACAAUGGUUAUUCCAGAUUUCUUUGGCACUACUUGUGUUGGACUUAUCCAUUUAUUAUCAGAGAUAUGAUAGAUAAUUCAUACAUCUAGUAGUUUAAGGACUUCAUUCUUUACCACUUCUUUCAUAUGAGGGUUUAGUCUUUUUUGUGGUUGAUGGUUUGUUUUGGCAUUUUCCUCUAAGUGUAUUCGGUGUGUGCAAAUUAAAGGAUUAAUGCCUUUUAUGUCUUUUAAGGUCCAACCAAAUGCAGUUUUAUGCCUUUUUAGUACAUAUAACAACUUACCUUCUUGAUCAUGCAUGAGCUGGGAAGAAAUUGCCACCGGAUAUGUCUGUUGCUCUCCAAGAUAAGCAUACUUCAAUUCUUCUGGUAAGGGCUUUAAUUCGAGCUCUUGUGCUUCCUAUUUGUUUGGUUCUUCAGGUUGUAUCGUAUCUUCAAAGUUCGAUUGGCUAUCGUCACCUGUAGGUACCUGCAUAGAAUCAAGUGUAGAACAUAUGUUAGCAGUAUCACAAUUUAAUUCUUUACUUGAUUCAAAAGAACCAGCAAAAUAAUUUUCCACAGAGUUUGUAAAAUUCUCAUCCUGAAUGUGUUCCUCAAUGAUUGGCUCGAUGAGAUCAAUCUCCUCAUUCUCAUUGUCAUUAUCUUCUUGGUGGUGGGGUUGUUUACACAUGUUGGACACAUUGAGUUCCAAUGUCAUGUUGCCGAAAGAUAAAUUCAUUCCUCCAUUCUUGCAAUUAAUUAAAGUAUUAGUAGUAGCUAAAAAUGGUCGACCCAAUAUAACAGGAAUUUGUUUGCAUUCAUUAGCAAUUGGUUCCGUUUCCAAAACAAUAAAAUCCACAUGGUAUAUGAAUUUAUCAACUCAGACUAAUACAUCUUCAAUUAUUCCUCUUGGAACUUUAAUCGAUCUAUCAGCAAAUAAAAGAGUGAUAGAAGUUGGUUUUAACUUAUUGAGAUUGAGUUGUUGGUACAUUGAGUAAGGAAGCAAAUUAACACUAGCACCAAGAGCAAGUAGAGCAUGUCUAAUUUUAUGAUCCCCAAUAAUGCAAGAAAUAGUUGGACAACCAGGAUCCUUAUAUUUCAAAGCACUAUUGGUCGAGAGAAUGGAACUUACUUGUUUUACCAGAAAAGCUUUCUUUUGCACUUUAUGUUCCCUUUUCACCGUGCACAGAUUUUUCAGAAAUUUAGCAUAAGAAGGUAUUUGUUUAAUGGUGUCCAGCAAAGGAAUGUUGACCUUCACUUGUUUAAAAACUUCAUAAAUUUCUGGACUGUGGUUUGAUUUCUUUGGCUUGAUUAGUGCUUGAGGAAAUGGGGGUACAGGAAGAGAGUUGGUUAUUUCUUCAUGGGUUAAAGGUUUGACAGACUCUUCCCUAUUUUCUGAAAUUAAAUCUUUGCUAGUUUCACGAGGGUUCACAAUGUGUUUUUCGACCACUUUACUAUCACAAAUGGUUAUAACCGAUUUGACUUGACUCAUAUUUUGGUUUCCCGAAUUUCCCAUUUGAGGAUGUUGUUGACUCUUGGGGUUUGGUUCAGGUUGAGCAGGAAACUUUCCUUUUUCAUGCAUGGUUGGAGCAGAUGUAAGUUUGCAGAUAGUUUAUGUCAAAUUGGUUAAGGUUUGCAUCGUUUGGUUAUUGAUCAACACUUAUUUUUCAAUAAACGAAUGCAAUGUGUCUUCCAGAGUUUUUCUUGAUGGUGGGACAUAUGGUGGGUAACUCUGGGGGUUUUAGAAAAUUUGACAUGAAAGAACUAGUUGUGAAGGCUGUGCAUGAUUUUCAUUUCUCCAACUGAAAUUUGGGUGGUUUCUCCAACCAGAGUUGUAAGUUUGGGAGUAUGGAUUUAGAUUUGGCCUUUUGAAAUUGUCAACGACAUUUACUUGUUCAUGCAAACUUUCUCUCAGAGCUGGCAAAGUUGGAUAGUCCUGCGUAGAAUGGUCAGUAGAAUCGUAAACAUAACAUGAAAUAUUUUGAACAGACUUUACAUUAUCAUUCUUUUUCAACUCUAAUGCUUCGACUUUUCUAGCUUAGGAUGCAAAUUUGGCUUGAAAAUCAUGGUCUUCCCUAAGGUUGUGUAUGCCUCCAUCAGAUGAAGAUGACUGUGGUUUAUUUGAUGACUUAUAAGAACCAACUGUAUUAUAGUGUUGUGCAUUCUCUGCUAUAUAGUCAAGAUAGUCUAAUGCAUCUUCAAGACUUUUAUCCCUAAACUCACCAUUACACAUCAUUUCAACGACUUGUCUAUCUUGAGAUGUUAAUCCCUCGUAAAAAUAAGACAUUAAUCUCCAUGUUUCAAAACCGUGGUGUGGGCAAAUGUUAAGUAGUUCUUUAAACCUAUCCCAACAUUGGUGGAGAGUUUCUCCUGGUUUUUGAGUGAAUAUAGUGAUUUGUCUUUUGAAAGAAUUUGUUAUGUGGGGUGGGAAGAAGUUUUUCAAAAAUUGUACUUGCAUUUCAUCCCAAGUUCUGAUGGAUCAUGACCUAAAAUUUGUAGCCAAAUUUUAGUUUUAUCUUUUAGUAAGAAAGGAAAAAACUUAAGCCUGAUUAUAUUCAUGCUACAAUUUUGAUCAGUACAUGUGUUACAGACUUCCUCAAAUGCCCUUAAAUGCAAACAUGGAUUUUCAGACUCAAAACUAUGAAAAGUAUGAAGAAGUUGAAUGAUAUCAGGUUUGAAAUUAAAACGUGAUGCAUCAGGAGGGAAAACUAUGCAUGAUGGUGACCUUGUUCUAAUGGGAUGCAUGAAGUCUCUAAGGGUCCUAGGUUGUUCAUGAAGAUUUUGCAAGGCUUGGUCAUUUUCGUGCUCUGAAAAAAUUUCAGCUCCUAUGUUAGCCAUAUCUAAGGGUGAUGAAGGUGAUCUCCUAAUUAAUCUGCCACUAUUUCUACGAGACCAACGACGCAUGCAAUGGUAAUGAUGUGUGCUAAACCAAUGAUGCAUAAAACGAUAAAUGAAAAUUGUAGAAAAUAAAAAUAAACUAGAAAUUAAGUUAGCAAAAAUACGAAAUAAAAAUAAACAAAUUGAAAAUAAAUAAAUUAGGCGGUGAAACCAGCCAUAAACAAAGAAAUUGAAAGAAACAGUUUAGGCGAUAUUUUAAAACCAGCCAUAUAAUAAAACAUAAAAUUAAAUAAAUUAAUGUACAAGAAUAAAUAAACUGAAAUUAAAAUGAUAGGCAGUAGAACCGACUAUAUAAAUAAAUUAACAAACUGAAAUUAAAAUUCUAGGCUAUAGAACCGACCAUUUAAAAUAAAUGUGGAGAGUAAAUUGUAAAAGUUUAAAGAAAUAAAUUCUAUUUAGGGACUGAUUUGCAAAGGUUUUUGGGCUAAAAUGAAGUUUGUCAUAAAUUUAUAGAUAAUGUUAAAGUUUGAAAAGAGGAGGGGCGCUAACUGAAGUUUUUCAAAAAGAGAAUAAAAUAGAAUUACGGAAAGAUAGAAACGACAAAAAAAAAAUUAAAAUAAAAUAAAGUAAAGAUAAGCUAACACCAAAUUUAGAAAACUACGCGAUAACGGCACCAAAAUUUUGACACGACUUAAAAGUGUAUUACUCACAAGUAUAAGAUUGUCUAGUUAUAAUAUAACCCGGUGAGUUUGGCGUCUAACCACAAGGAAUUUUUAAAUUUAGUUGUCAAUUUGUUAAACAAGGAAAAUAAUUGUGGGGAAAAUAAAUUAGUUGAAAACAAUUUAAAAAUAUACUAAGGUUACGGGAUCCACUCUCAGUAUUCAAACUAUAAUUUUAAUACUCUCUCAUUUAUAUUUUGCCUCAGUUUUACUAGUUAAUUAUUAUAUCAUUUAAUUCUAUGUGUAUGAAUAAAUAUGGAAUAAAGUACCUAAUGUGUCACACUAUAUUAAUGUGUCGACAUUAUGUCAAAAUAACAUACAAAUCUAAAGGAAUUUAUAAAUUAACAUGACAUAAAAAUAACUAGAAAAGAAUAAAAUAAACUUAAAAACUCAUUUGAGAAAAUAAUAAAUUUAAUAGUUUGAAACAUUGAGCUUCACCCUUCACUUCAACUUAAUAAAAUUAGCCACUCAUAUUGAAAGAAAACACAACACUCUUUUUAUUUGAUAUACUUUUGAAAUAUGUUACAAAGAAAAUUGAUACAGACGGAAACAAGAAAAGAAAAGAAAGAAAGAAAGAAAGAAAGAAAGAAAGAAAGAAAGAAAGAAAGAAAGAAAGAAAUUCUUCAGCUACACUUUUGGCUGUCACUCUCUCUCAGAACUCGGCUCUGCCCCCAAUGGCUUGCAUCCCCUUGUUUUUUAUAGGCAAGGGAAGCAUAUUCUUUUCUUUUCUUUUCUUUUCUUUUAUUAAUAUUAAUAUUUUAUUUUAUUUUUAUAUUAUAUAUAUUUUAUUUAUACAUAUAUGUUUAUUUUUAUAUUAAUAUUAAUAGUUUAUUCCAAUCUUUAUUUUAUUUUAUUAUUUUUAAUAACAUCUCCUCGAUUGAUGAAUUCUAAAUUGCUCCAGCUGUCCUUUUUUGUUCUCGCUUUUAACUCCAAUUCCAUCUUUAUUCCUGAAAAAUAUUUACAAGAUAAAAAUUAAUAUAUUGCAAAUUAAUUUAACAUAAAAUAUAUUUGGGGAGUAUUAAAGUAAUUUAGAAAUAAUUAGUGCAUUAAUCGAUACAAUAAGUGAAAAACUAAUAAUUUUAUCCUUAUUAAAUGUACACUUUUUAGUGUCAAUCAUUUUACAUCCUAAUUAGCAAGACAAGUUUUUGGGGUGUAUGGGCGCCCCAGAAAAAAAAAACCGUGUGGGUCUUGUUAAGGCCCAAAGCUGACAAUAUCUUGUCAGAUCUGGGUUGGGACAGAACAGAUGGUAUCAGAGCGGGUCUGCGUGUCUUCUUGAAUGAUGGUAGGCAAACGGCAAACCUUAGCGAGAAUGUUGAGUUCCUAAGGGAGGUGUAUGUAACACCCUAAGCAAAUCCCACAUUGACCAAACAUAAAAGAGAUGCUGUGUUUACAAGGGGUGAUCUACACCCUAAUUGGCAAGACGCGUUUUGGGGUGUAUGGUUGCCCUAGAAACAAAACCACGUGGGCCUUAAAGUAGAAAUAUCUUGCCAGGUCGGGGCUAGAUCAUGUAACAGCCCAAUUCUCUUAAGGGUAGUUUAGUAUUUUUAAUUUAUUAAUAUUUUUGUACCUUAUUAUAAAAAGAAUAAGAUGUUUUGCCUCUACUAUUGAUAAGAGAGAGAGAGAGAGAGAGAGAGAGAGAGAGAGAGAGAGAGAGAGAUUGGUUAAAAAAAAGAACAAAAGAAGAAGAAGAGAAAAAAAGAGAAAAGGAAAGGAGAAGAAGAAAGUCUUUUCCUUCAUAUAGUUAUGAGCAAUAAAUGAGAUCAAAGUAGUGUCUUUUGAAUUGGAUUUGUGCCGAGAGAGAAUUGGAGAUAAAUUUCAAUUCUUGAUCCUUGUUAAUUGCUAUAGAAAAGCAUGAUUAGAUAGUGGUAAGAGAAGUAGAACUUAAGAUUUUACAGAAAAUAUGUUGAUGGUAUGUUAUUUUGAAAAUCAUAGUAAUUUAUACAAAUUGAUUUUGAUUCUGGAUUUUGGAUAUGUUAAACUAUAUAUCUUCGAGAAUGUUUUGGAACUUGUUUCAAGCUAAUCGGAUAAGAUUUCAAUUAAUUACGAUUUUUUAAACUCUAGUUUGAAAACCUUGAAAUUUCUAAUUUCAGCGAAGAACAUGAAUUACAAAAUUAUUUUACCAUAACUAGACUUCUUCAAAAAUUAUGAAACUUGGAUCAACGAUUUUUAUAUAUGUCUAGUGUGAUUUUGGAAAUUUUCAUGAUUUUAUGAUAAAACAAUAAAUUGUUUGAUAGAAUUGAUGAUGUUUGAAACAUAAAUUAUUUUCAAUAUUUUUUGAAAGAAUUAAGCUAUGAAAUUUUAAUCAAUGAAUUUCUAGUAUGUCAGCAUAUGCUCUUGAAAAUUUGGGAUUUCUCCAAUAAGGUAAUAAUUUAUUAAAAAUCGGAGAACAUGGGCUGUUUUAUUUUGAGAUCAAAUAUUGAGAGUGUUUGAGGUUGACUUUAGAAGAUGUUUAAAAUGAGUAAUUUGAGGAUGUUGGAAUUAUGAUUAGGACUUGAUUAUAUCUUAUGAGAGUUAUAUUAAUGAUUUUUAGUUCGAUGAUAUCAAUACGCAUUUGUUACAUGUGGAUGCCAAGAGGUAAGUAAACUAGACUUCUAAAUAGAUCACAAUAAACAAUACGUAUAUGUUUGACAUGUUUGAAAAACCUAUUUUUGAUAUGUACGGAUAUGAUUUAUAUGUUUCUGCCAUGUGUUUAUGUGAUGUGUUGUUAUGUGUUGAGCGUGAUUAUAUACAUGGGCAUAUGUAUGUGUGAAAGUUCAUUAGCAUAAGCAUGAUGAAUAUGCAAAGCUUUUAUAAAAGUAUGUUCAGUACUAUUGCAUUCUAUAAGUCUAUGAUUUGUACAUGAACUUUGCUAUUAUAUUAAUGGUGCGUUUACUUCUUGGAUUAGGGAAUCAAAAUCCGAAAUUGGAAUCAUUGACAACGUUUUCUCCACAAAUAGAGUCGGGAAUCGAAAUCGAAAUUGUGGGGCCCACCACAAUGUAAAUGAGGAAUGGGAGACUCAUUCCCAAGGAAGAGGGUGGGAAUCAGUCUCCCAGUCCCGGGGCUAACCAUUUUGCCCUCCCUCAAAAUAAAAAAUGCCGCUUUGUCCUCAUUUAUAAUUAAUCAAUAUAUUGUUAUAAUUUAUUUAUUUUUUAUAAUAAUUAUUAAUAUAAUUAUUAUAAUUAAUUAAUAUAAUUAAUAUAAUUAUUACUAUUAAUUAAUAUAUUUUAUUAUAAUUAAUUAAUAUACUAUUAUUAUAAUUAUUAAUAUAAUUAAUUCAUGUAUUAUUAUUAAUUAAUUAAUAUAAUUAUUACUACUAAUUAAUAUAUUAUUGUUAAUAAUAUAUUAAUAAUUAUAAUUUUUGAAUAAAUAAUCACCAUAAUUAAUAUAUUAUUAUAAUUAAAUAAUUAAUAUUAUUAGUUCAUAUAUUUUUAUAAUAAUUAUUAAUAUAAUUAUUAUACUUAAUUAGCAUAUUAUUAUAAUUAAUUAAUUAAAAUUUUUUAUAAUAUAUUAAUAUAUUAUUGACAAUAAUUGUUAAUAAUAAUUUUUGAAUAAAUAAUCACUAUAAUUAAAAUAUGAAAUAAUAAUUAUGACAAUAAUUUAUUAAGUACUUUUUAGUAAUUUGUUACAAUUUAAUUCAUUUUGAUUCCGAUUCCAAGACAAAAUAAACACAUUAAUGGCAAUCCAACUCAUUCUGAUUUCGAUUCUUAUAGUUCAAGUAAACAACUUAUUUUCUAUUCCUUAUUCCUAUUUCAUCCCAUUCUUAUUCAUAUUCAUUUCGAUUCCUGCCCAUUUCAAUUUUAAUUUUGCAAAUGCACCAUAAGUUUCAUGAUAGUUUGCAUUGGGGCCACCUCUUAAAGCUGUAUAGGGGGCCACCUGUCAUGACCCAACUCAGACCUAGUAUGAUAUUGUCCGCUUUAGGCUUUAACAAGGCCUGCACGAUUUUGUUUCUAAGGUGCCAGUACACCACAAAACACGUCUUGCCAAUUAGGAUGUGGAUCGUCUCUUAUAAAUCCAACAUCUCUCCCGUGCUUUGUCAAUGUGGGGUUUGUGAAAUACUAACUAGGCAACCCAGGAGGGGGGGGGGUGAAUUGGGAUAUUAAAAGUUAUUUAAUCCUAAAACAAAACUCAAUGCAAAUCCAAAACAAAUUUAAAGCAAUAACAAAUAAAUCAAUCACAAUAUAAAAAGAUAAGGGAAGAGAGAGCAAACACAAUGAUUUUUACGUGGUUCGGCAAUCCCCGCCUACGUCCACGCCUCCAAGCUCACCGGGCUUGAGGAUUUCACUAAGCUAGCCUCCCAAGGCUUUAAACGCUUACAAUUGACUUCCAAGGUGUCAAUGGACCUUUACAACAAGAGAUUAUCCCCAAUCUCUUAACCCAAGUGUAUCCAACACUUACAAUUACUCAAAGUAAAAGAUUACAAGUUGUUCUUCUCUCACACAAUAUUUAAGAUUACAAAUCAAUGCCCAAUGUGUGAAUAGAUGAAGAGAGAAUGUGUUUUUAAAGCUCUAUGAAGAUUGUAUUCUCGGAUAUAGGCUCAAUGGUCGUGUUGUGAUCAACCUCCUUUGAUUUUGAAUGAGCUUAUUUAUAUCUGGAGCUGAAAAACUAACCGUUACAAACUGUCAGUCCGAAAACGAUUCGCCGUUAAUGAUUAACGGUUAACCGUUUAGGUUGGUUAAAAGUUACCAUUGAGCCAAAAUUCAAAUAAACGGUGUGUCGUUAAGGGUUACCCUCUCACCGUUAGUUUCUAGAGACUAGCAAUAUGAACAUCAGUUAUCCGUUUAAAGUAAACGGUUAAGGAUUUGCAUGAAGUGACUCCUCUGGAUAUUAUCGGUUGACCGUUUGUAAUAAACGGUUCACCGUUUGUUUCCAGUAACCUGCAAAACAAUUUAGCCUUAUCCGGUUUUGUUAAUCAAUUCCAGAGGAGGACAACCUUCAAUUCUGGAUGUUAUCGGUUAACCGUUUAAAUAAACGGUUCACCGUUAAGUUCAAGUAGCCUUCCCAUCUUUUGUGUUUUUCCAUUUUUCACAAACAGUUAGAGCUUUAGGCAAUAUGUUGCUAUCUGGAUGUUAUCGGUUAACCGUUUAAAUAAACGGUUCACCGUUAAGUUCUAGUAGCCUUCCCAUAUUUUGUGUUUUUUCGUUUUUCAUAAACGGUUAGAGCUUUAGGCAAUAUGUUGCUCUCUGGAUGUUAUCGGUUGACCAUUUAAAUAAACGGUACACCAUUUAUAUCCAGAAUUACAUUUUAAACCAUAUUUUACAGAGAAUCUUUUUCUAAUUUGAAAGUCCAUCUUUUAUGAAAAAUGAAUGGAAUGAUUAUUAAUGCUUUCGUUUAUUAAGGAAUAGGUCCAAUAUUUUUAUCAAAAAACCAUUUAAAAUUUGUUAUCGUCAAAAUCAAUAUUAUUAACAUAUUCAUGUUAACAAUCUCCCCCUUUUUGAUGAUGACAAAUUUCAAUCAAUGUUUAACUCCCCCUUAAUAUGUGCUCCCCCUAAAUGUAUGGCCAAAUUAAGAAAUGUUCAAUAAAAGGAUUUUUGCUCAAGAAAACAUUUUUAAAUUCAUUCUUAAUCUCCCCAUUUUAAAUCCAUUUUAAAUACCAUAAUUAUCUCCCCCUUCAUCAUCAAAAAGAAAAGAGAGAAUAGGAAAAACGUAAAUCCGUUAAAGAAAUUAUCCGGUGUUGGCAAGUGAAAAUUUUGGCAGAGUUUCCCCUUAAAAAGGAGCAAAACCACUAAUACAAAAUGAGAUUAAAACACUUCCAAAAUAGAUUAACACCAACUUCAUCUUUCAACAAACCAACAACUCCAUGAACAAACAAACCAACACUUCAAUAUCCAAUAAACCACAAAUUGCAUCAACCAAUCACCAAGUCAUCCAAUCAGCAAGAACAUCACAAACAUAUGUCAUCAAAAUUCAGAAAGAACAUAUAGAGGGAACAAUGUAUAUAAAAAUAUAAAUGCAAACAACCAAAAUGUAUGUGCGAAAACAGAACUCAGAAACUAUGGUGGUGGAGAAGAUGUGCUCCUCGGAUCAUAGCCGAAAUAGCGGAGAAGAGUGCGCUGUCCAGCGAUAAGCUCAAGCUGCUGGAAGGUCUGAAAUUCAGAACGUAGCUACUGGUGGUCACGGGAAAUAGUGUCCAACCGAUCAAGAAUCAGCUGCUGGCGCUCUGAAAUCGGGUGAACAUCAACAAUCAAUUGCUGCACAAUGUCUGAAGCAGGGGGCUGAACUGGAGUUGGAGGCGGCAUAGAGGCAGAUUGUUGCUCAGGAACAGCAGAUGGCUGCUUAGGAAUAGCAGAUGGCUCAGGAGCAGGAGGCGGCUCGGAAGAGGAGGGAAUGACAGCAUCCAUCGCACGCUCCUCAGAGUCAGAGUCAGUUGGAGGCCGAAGGACAAAACGGUGACGCGGAGGAUGAGUAUGAGCUCCUAAUCUAAAGUCCGGAAGCUGAUCGAGAGGAUAGAUAUCAUUGAGCAUCCGAUCGUCCUCUGGAGCAAUCAAGGUAUCCCGGUUUUUGGAGUUGCUUGUCUUUAUCCACUCUCCAUUCUUCCUAGAAAAACCAAUACUAGUCAUGGCCUUGGGACCAAUCCGUCUAGUCUCCAUAUAUCCAGUAUCAAGAAGAGGCACCUCAAAGCGUCGCAGUAUCUUAGUAAUGAUACUGCCAUAAGGAAGCAAGCGGUGAUUGACCGUGGGAAUACUCAACAUAUGCCGCACAAUAACAUACCCGAGGUUAAUGGGACAGUCUGUAAGUAGGCUAUCUAGUAGGCCAACGUCCAACCUCGUAACCUCAUCCGAGUGACCCUUUCUAGGUGUCACUAUGUGCUGUAAAAUAGUGUGAAGAAUGCAAACUUGGAGGGGUAAAAGUUGAGACAAAAAAGGAAGCAAACAAAUCUCUUCAGACAAGUCUCGACGACGACAUAUAUUGCGGAUGCCAUCAGUAUGACAAAAACUGUCAAAGAAAAGAGCUUUCCUAGAGGUGUAUAUAUCAUGCCUCUCACUAGAGAUACCAAGAAAGUCAGCUAGGUCCGCAUCAUUAAACUCUAUUGACACGACCGACUUGAGUAAUUAUCCUAUUUGGGCAAGUAUCAGAGAUUUCCAUGUUUGAAUAAAAGACUCGUACUAAAUUUGGAUAAACUCGGUCAUCAAGGUUAAUGGCAGGCUCCCAAGGCUGAAGCAUAUCCCGAAUGCUUCUACCAUAUACAACUAAGUUACGGAAAUCAUCAAUGUUAAUAAAGAAUGAGUCAAGUACCUUUCGACCGUUGAAGCGAUCUUCGAACCACUUGGCCAAGGAAGGUGUAGGGAAGUGAAUGCGUGCAAAUUCAGAGACUUCCCGUGGUGGUAUAGGAUUCCUUGGAGGCACAAAUUUACGCCUGAGAUUUCUCCGAGGGGGUUCAGCCAUGGAGAAACACAAUGGAGUGUGGAAAAUGCAGGAGAGAUGUGAUGAGAAGAAAAAGAAUCGAUGAUUGGCUUAUGAAUGAAUAGAGGAUGUGAGUUGGAUGCUUAAUUUGGUUGAAGAAGGGGAAGAAUCAGAUUAAAAACGAAGAAACUCGACCCGCGAUAGUUAGGGUUUCAAUUUGGGAUUUUUAAAUUUUGGGCUUGAUUUGAAGUUUUGAAUCGGUGAAAUUGUUCUAAAGGUGAUAAGAAAUGAUGUUGGAGGUUUGAUUUGGCAAGAAAAGAAAGAAAAAUAAGGGUUUGAAGGUAGAGAAACCUUCGGCUGUGCAACAAUGGCCGAAACAGUGAAAGGUUAACUGGAGAAGGAGAAGAAAAGACCUUUGAACAGUUUUUAUAAUCGCGAAAACGGUUAACCGUUUAUUGAAACGGUUAAGGGGUAACUUCCAGAAGCUAAAGAAUAGGCAACGGUGAAAGCUUAAGCGCUUAACAGCUAAGGAGCAACUGUUAGAGGACUCUCUGUUUUCAAAUGAUUCACCGAUUGUAGCAAACGGUGAAAGAGCAAACGGAUAGACACAUAAUCUCGUUUCUGGAAUUAAACGGUGAACCGUUUAUUGGAAACGGUUAACCGUUUAUUUUUAUCAGUAAUUUCGCACAUUUGAUUUAAUUUUUGGCCAGCAAAUUAUAUUCCAAGAUUAUUUAAUUGAUCUGAAAAUAUUUUAUGAGCCAUUUUAAUGGAUGAUUCAUGAACAUGUUUUCAACCAAUUAAUUCAUAUAAUCAAGAAUUAUCAAGGCAAAUUCAUCAUUUGACUAUCAAGCUCAAGCAUUUCACAAAUAUUAGAUCACAACUAAGUCAAUCAAUUCAGUACACUCAAUAACAUGAAUCGAGACGUUAAUGCAAAAAUUUCAUCAUCCCAAGUUCAUGCCGAAUUUUUUAAAAUUGUUCUUCGCAAAGUGGUUUUGUGGAAAUAUCGGCAAGUUGUUUUUCCGUAGAAAUAAACUCUAAUGCAAUAUCUCCCUUUUGAACAUGAUCUCUCAAGAAAUGAUGUCUUAUUUCUAUAUGCUUGGUUCAAGAGUGUUGAAUGAGAUUCUUUGAAAGAUUUAUAGCACUAGUAUUAUCACACUUAAUAGGAAUUUGUUCAAGAUUAAUGCCAUAAUCUCUAAGAGUUUGUUUCAUCCAAAGUGCUUGUGCACAACAACUUCCAGCAGCUAUAUAUUCGGCCUCGGUAGUUGAAAGUGUGACCGAAUUUUGUUUCUUGCUAAACAAUGAAAUAAGAGAGUGUCCUAGAAUAUAGCAAGUACCACUAGUGCUCUUCCUAUCCACUUUAUAACCGGCAAAGUCCGCAUCCGAAUAACAUGUUAAAUCUAUAUGAGUUCCUCUAGGAUACAAAAGGCCAAUAUCUAUGGUUCCACUCAAAUAACGGAAAAUUCUUUUAACAGCAAGCAAAUGGGAUUCCUUGGGACAUGACUGAAAUCUUGCACACAAACAUACACUAAACAUGAUAUCGGGUCUAUUUGCAGUCAAAUAAAGUAGGGAUCCAUCUCGAUACAUUUUGACAUCCACUUCUUUGCCUUUUUCAUCUUUGUCCAGCUUGGUUGUUAUGCUUAUUGGUGUAUUCUUGGUCUUUGAGUUAUCAAUGCCGAAUUGUUUGAGUAGAUCUUUUACGUAAUUGAGUAGAUUUAUGAAAAUUCCUUCCUCGUUUUGUUUGAUUUGAAGUUCAAGGAAGUACUUCAACUCUCCCAUCAUACUCAUCUCAAAUUCUUUGCUCAUACACGAUGAAAAUUCUUUACACAAUAACUCAUUAGUAGAACAAAAAAUAAUAUUAUCAACAUAAAUUUAAACAAUAAGUAUGUCUUAGUUCUUGUGCUUAACAAAUAGAGUAGUAUCCGCUUUAGCCAUAGAAAAAUCAUUUUCUAGCAAGAAAUUUUUAAGUCUAUUAUACCAUGCUCUAGGUGCUUGUUUUAAUCCAUACAAGGCUUUAAGCAACUUAUAAACAUGAUUUGGAAAUUUUUCAUUUUCAAAACCAAGGAGUUGUUUUAGAAACACUUCUUCCAUGAUAUAUCCAUUUAAGAAAGCACUUUUCACAUUCAUUUGAAACAAGAUGAAAUCUCUAUGACAUGCAAAUGCCAACAACAUUCUAAUUGAUUCUAGUCUAGCAACGGGUGCAAAAGUUUCAUCAAAAUCAAUUCCUUCUUCUUGGUUGUAACCUUGAGCCACUAAUCUAGCUUUAUUUCUUACAACCACACCGGAUUCAUCCAUCUUAUUUCUAAAGAUCCAUUUUGUACCUAUGACGGAUUGAUGUUCCGGUUUAGGAACUAAUUCCCACACAUUGUUUCUUUCAAAUUGAUUUAACUCCUCUUGCAUUGCCAUAAUUCAAGAUUCAUCAUUUUCCGCAUCCGCAAAGGAUUUGGGUUCAAUUUGAAAAAUGUAUGCAUUAUGCUCACAAGUAUUUCUAAGUGAUGAUCUAGUUGUAACACCUCGUAAGGGAUCACCUAAAAUUAUAUCUAUAGGAUGAGAAGAGACAUACCUCCACUCCUUGAGGAGUGUUUGGGAAAUACCUUCUUGUUGCUCCAUCUCCGUAUUUGUUUGCUCUUCUUGUCUAUCCUCUUGAUUUUCUUGUGAUGCAUUUUCUUGAAUCUCUUUCGAUGAUUCUUCUUGUAAAUCUCCAUCUGCAUCAUCAUUAGCAACUCCUUUCUCCGUAGAGCAGGGGUUAGACUCAUCAAACGUAACAUGCAUGGAUUCUUCCACAACUAAAGUUCUUUUAUUAUAAACUCUAUAAGCUUUACUUGAGUUUGAAUACCCAAGAAAGAUGCCAACAUCAGAUUUUGGAUCAAAUUUACCAAGAUUAUCUUUUGUGUUUAAAAUAAAACAUUUGCAUCCAAAAACUUUGAAAUAACCAAUGUUGGGUUUUCUAUCUUUCCAAAGCUCAUAGGGAGUUUUGUUGAGAUGAGGUCUAAUCAAUACUCGAUUUAAAACAUAGCAAGCGGUGCUGACGGCUUCGACCUAAAAAUAUUUAGGUAAAGCAUUUUCAUUUAACAUGGUACUAGCCAUUUCUUGAAUAGACCUAUUCUUUCUCUCAACAACUCUAUUUUGUUGUGGAGUCCUAGGUGAUGAAAAUUGAUGCUCAAUGUAAAAUUAUUGCAAAAGUUCUCAAAUGCAUGAUUUUCAAAUUCUCCUCCAUGAUCACUCCUAAUGCAUAUAAUAUCAUGCUCUUUUUCAUUUUGUAAUUUCUUAUAAAGCACUUUAGAAGCAUCAAGUGCAUCAUCCUUAUUGGCUAAGAAUAAUACCCAUGUAUAUCUAGAAAAAUCAUCCACUAUCACAAAUGCAUAAUACUUGCCAUUUAGACUAGCAUAUAUAGAUGGCCCAAAUAGAUCUAUGUGAAGGAGUUGAAGUGGUUUUGAAGUAGAGAUAUGGUUUUUAUUUUUGAAAGAGGUUUUGAUUUGUUUUCCAAAUUGACAAGCUUCACAAAUCUUAUUCUUUUGAAAACCAAUUUUCGGAAGACCUUUAACUAAAUCAUUUUUUGAAAUUUUCGAAAUCAAAUCCAUACUUGCAUGUCCUAAUCUUCUAUGCCAUAGCCAACUAUCAUCAUGUAAUGCGGAAAAAACAUUUAUCAAGAGUAGAUGCACAUUCUAUGUCAAUGAUAUAAACAUUACCACAUCUAUUACCAACAAACAAGAUUUUGCUAUCACAUGAGUUCUCAAUAACACAACUAAAUUUGUCAAAGAUAACUUUAUAACCUUUGUCACAUAAUUGACUAAUGCUAAUUAAGUUGUGUUUCAAGUUCUCAACCAAACAUACAUUCUCAAUUAGAGUUGAGGAGACUUUACCAACAUUUCCAAUUUCAAGAAUUUUUCCUUUUGAGUUGUCUCCAAAAGAUAUAUCUCCACUAUUUUCAAUUUUGGUGAAGUUUGAGAACCAUGCAUAGUUUCCGGUCAUGUACCUUGAACAACUGCUGUCCAAGUACCAUUUAUUUUUCUUCUUCUUUAAGCCCUACAAAGAAAAUCUCAAGUUUUAGGUACCCAAAACUUUUUGGGUCCUUGAGAGUUAGCAAUGGUUCCUUUUGGAACCCAAAUACAUUUGACACCAUAAUAUACAUUCCUUUUCACGGGACAUCCAUAUUUCAUGUGACCAUUUUGAUUACAAUAAUGACAGACAAUCUUAUGAUCAUUUGUGGAGGUAGCUUUAACAAAAUAAUUCUUAUAAUACUUUUGCUUCAAGUUAGGCUUGUAACCAAGUCCUCCUUUAUCAAAAACACAUUUUUGUGAAUUAAGCAUAUUAUCCAACAUCUUUUGACCAUUUGUAAAUUUCAAAACAAUUUCAUUCAAAUCAUUGCUCUUUUUCUUGAGCAUUUCAUUUUCAUUUUUCAAAUCAUCUAUGUGUGAUUCUAAAUGCUCAUGUGAGGUACUAUGCUUCUCAUUUGAUAAUGCAAGUUUAUCAUGCAAUGUUUUGUUCUCUACUUCUAGGCAUGCAAUUUUUGCAUUUAAAGAUUCAUUUUCAUUUUUAACUUUUGUCAUUUCCUUUUUAAGACAUACAUUCUUUUUACCAAUCUUUAUCAACUCAUUAUGCAAUUCUUCAAAAGCAUCAUACAAUUCAUCAUAGGUGGGAUCACUUACCUCAUUGAGAUUAUCAUCCUUUCCUAUUGCCAUAAGCGCUAGGUUUGAUUCCUCUUACAAUCCUUCUUCAUCACUUGAAUCUUCCUCGCUAUCAUCCCAUGUUGCAACCAUGGCUUUCUUCUUGAGUUUGAUGAUAAGUGGACACUCCGAUCUUAUAUGGCCAGGCUUCUUGCACUUACAGCAUGUGAUCACCUCUUUCUUCUCCCUUUGGUUCUUAAAGUUUCUGAAUUUUCUUUGCUCUCCAAUUUUCUUGAAAAACUUUCUGAACCUCUUUGCUAGCAUGGCUAACUCUUCAUCAUCCGGUUCACUACCUCCAUCACUCUCAUAUUUUGAAUCUUUGCGAGCGAUGCUUUUCUUCUUCUCCUCGUCUCUUUUUUUUACUGCCAAGUCUUCUUCAUAUGAAAUGAGAGAACCAAUUAAAUCAUCAAGAGGUAAAGUAUUUAAGUUUUUAGCCUCUUCAAUGGCAGUUCUUUUAGGUCUCCAUUCUUUUGGAAGUGACCUAAUGAUUUUCUUAACUUUCUCACUAUUUGAGAAGGUCUUCCCUAAGGCACCUAGAGUGUUCACUAUGUCCGUGAAUCUAGUAUACAUAGAAUACACAUUUUCAUUUUGUUCCAUUUGGAACAGCUCAUAUUGACGAGUGUAUCUACUGAUUUUAAACUCUUUAACUUGAUUUGUCCCUUUAUAGACAACUUCAAGUUUAUUCUAUAUUUCUCUUGCACUUUCACAACUAGAUACUCUAUGAAAUUCUUACUUAUCAAGGGCACAAAACAAAGCAUUCAUAGCCUUGGAGUUUAGAGAUAUCUUUCUCUUUUUUAACUCACUCCAUUGACUCGAUGGUUUAGGAAUAUCAUCUCCUACUUCAUUUUUAAACGUAGGCAUGAAUGGACCAUCAUAAACAACUUCUCAAAUUUCAUAAUCUAAGGCUUGCAAAUAGAUUCUCAUUCUAGUUUUCCAAUAAGCAUAGUCAUUACCAUAAAAAAAUGGUGGUCUAGUUGUAGAUUGCCCUUCUCUAAAGGUUGAGUCAUUUAGGGAUGCCAUGGAUCUUUUACUCUUAGACGAUUAAGUCCUAACAAGAGAACAAGGCUCUGAUACCAAUUGAAAUACUAACUAGGCAACCCAAGAGGGGGGGUGAAUUGAGAUAUUAAAAAUUAUUUAAUCCUAAACCAAAACUCAAUGCAAAUCCAAAACAAAUUUAAAGUAAUAACAAAUAAAUCAAUCACAAUAUAAAAAGAUAAAGAAAGAGAGAGCAAACACAAUGUUUUUACGUGGUUUGGCAAUCCCCGCCUACGUCCACGCCUCCAAGCUCACCGAGCUUGAGGAUUUCACUAAGCUAGCCUCCCAAGGCUUUAAACGCUUACAAUUGACUUCCAAGGUGUCAAUGGACCUUUACAACAAGAGAUUAUCCCCAAUCUCUUAACCCAAGUGUAUCCCAACACUUACAAUCACUCAAAGUAAAAGAUUACAAGUUGUUCUUCUCUCACACAAUAUUUAAGAUUACAAAUCAAUGCCCAAUGUGUGAAUAAAUGAAGAGAGAAUGUGUUUUUAAAGCUCUAUGAAGAUUGUAUUCUCGGAUAUAGGCUCAAUGGUUGUGUUGUGAUUAACCUCCUUUGAUUUUGAAUGAGCUUAUUUAUAUCUGGAGAUGAAAAACUAACCGUUACAAACUGUCGGUCCGAAAACGGUUCGCCGUUAAUGAUUAACGGUUAACUGUUUAGGUUGGUCAAAAGUUACCGUUGGGCCAAAAUUCAAAUAAAUGGUAUGCCGUUAAGGGUUACCCUCUCACCGUUAGUUUCCAGAGACCUACAAUAUGAACAUCAGUUAUCUGUUUAAAGUAAACGGUUAAGGAUUUGCAUGAAGUGACUCCUCUGGAUAUUAUCGGUUGACCGUUUGUAAUAAACGGUUCGCCGUUUGUUUCCAGUAACCUGCAAAAUAAUUUAGCCUUAUCCAGUUUUGUUAAUCAGUGCCAGAGGAGGACAACCUUCAAUUCUGGAUGUUAUCGGUUAACCGUUUAAAUAAACGGUUCACUGUUAAGUUCCAGUAGCCUUCCCAUCUUUUGUGUUUUUCCGUUUUUUAUAAACGGUUAGAGCUUUAGGUAAUAUGUUGCUCUAUGGAUGUUAUCGGUUAACCGUUUAAAUAAACGGUCCACCGUUAAGUUCCUGUAGCCUUCCCAUCUUUUGUGUUUUUCAUUUUUCAUAAACGGUUAGAGCAUUAGGCAAUAUGUUGCUCUCUGGAUGUUAUCGGUUCACCGUUUAAAUAAACGGUUCACCGUUUAUAUCCAGAAUUACAUUUUAAACCAGAUUUUGUAAAGAAUCUUUUUCUAAUUUGAAAGUCCAUAUUUUAUGAAAAAUGAAUGGAAUGAUUAUUAAGGCUUUCGUUUAUUAAGGAAUAGCUCUAAUAUUUUUAUCAAAAAACCAUUUAAAAUUUGUUAUCAUCAAAAUUAAUAUUAUUAACAUAUUCAUGUUAACAGUUUGCUUAGGGUGCUACAUACACCCUUCCUUAGGGACUCAGAGUCCUCACUGAGGUUUGCCACACCAUCGUUCAAUAUGACACAAGGACUCGCUCUGAUACCAUCUAUUGCGACCCAGUCUAGACCUGGCAAGAUAUUGUCUGCUUUGGGCUAUACAGUUUUGUUUCUGAGGUGCCUAUGCACCAUAAAACGUGUCUUGCCAAUUAGGGUGUGGAUCACCCCUUAUAAACCCAGCAUCUCUCCCGUGCUUUGUUGAUGUGAGAUUUGCCUAGGGUGUUACACAGUACCCUAUUUCAAAAUGAGUUGUUAGUUUAAUAAACUUGUGGGUUCCUCUAAUUACAUACCUUGUUUCGAAGAAAUUACAAUAUUCUCAAUAGUUUAAUUUUUCUUUAGUUACCUUUAAGUGAAUCCUUUAAAAUUUAUGUGAAGCUGAAAUGAUUUGUUCAAAAACAUGUAUUGUUGGAAUAUGUAGCAGUUGGUUACUUGUCUGUUGCUGCCUUUGACAAUUUUUAUUAGAGGAAUUUCAUCAAACAGAUCGUGCAUGUCUACGAAAAGUAACUAAAAAAUAAAAAAUGCAAUAAAAACAGUGACUAAAAGCAAAUAAAUCACGCAUGACCCAACAUCUAUUAAUUUAUUCUAAGUAAAAGCCCCAACACAUUGUGAACAAAGGAAGAAAAUGAAAAAUUACAUGUAACAGAGUAAAGAAAAACUCAAAAAAAUAAACAAUGCAUAAAGGAAAAUGUCGCCGUUCUUGGAUAUUUUAAACACAAAGAUAGAAGAAUAGACGUGUAUGAAAAUGGCUGGUGUUAGAAUCGUGUCGAUGAAAAUUACGGAUGUUGGAAUCACAUCAAUGAGAACCGCCAGUGUUGGAAUCGUGCUAAUGGGAACAACAUUUAGAGUUUGUUUUAUGGAAAAAUUGAUUUGAAAUUAAGUUUAAAAAUGAGGAGAAUAAAAUUGAAAUUAAAUAAUAUGUAAGGGUAAUUUAGUAAUUUAAUAUACAGGUGGGAAAAAAUCUACUGAGGUGUCAAAGUCCAGCUACAAGGUGUUACUAUUGAAAAUGAGGGGAUGAUAUAUGGAAAAAAGAAGCUUCAUUUUAAAUUAAUGAACAAAAUUAUUCUUUCACAAAGUAUUAAAAACAAUAAAAUACUAUUACAUAGCUCGGAAAGUUUGUAUUAAGUUAUAGAAUUAGGUGUCUCUUAUAUAUAUGUCUUCCCAUGAAUAAAAGCAUGUGUAUUAAGUUAUGAAAUUGUGGAUUAUUAUACCAGUCUAAUGGCUCUUUCCCUUUCAACAUUAUUGUACGUAUUUUGCAAGGAAACAUCCUCUAUCUUUCUUUCAAUUAAUGUCCAAUUAAGACUUCCGCGUGCCCAAUUAAUGUCAAUCACUCAAUUGUUUUUGAACGUGUACAGGAUAACAACUUAAAGACUUUAGAGGGCCAGCGUUAAUUCAAAGUCAAAACUAGGUUAUUACCCUACAUGAUUCUUGAUAGUGAGGUGAAAAAAAGGUUGAAAAGGAUUCGGAUUUAAUCUUGAGUUUAGUUUUUAUUGAGCACUGAAUUAAUAAUUAAUAUUUAUUUUGUAUUUUUAUUUAUUUAUCUUACUUAACAACCAUUUACUUAAAUCCUUGUCCGGUUGAAGGAUACUAGAUAAAUGAUUUUUAAAACUUUAGUUAUUUUUGUGUAUAAAACAAAAACUUUAAAUUAUUUAGUUUCAAAAGAGAGAAAAAAAAUCUAGACUUUGACCUGCUUGGGAAUAAAUUAUAUUUGUUAUUUAAAAAAAAAUCAUACUAUGAGAAAGAGAAAAUAUAAGUGGGGUUAAUUCUAUUUGUAUGUCCUUAAAUAUAAUUGUAUAGAAGAGGGAUUUUAUAAUAUUAAUGAAGGGGUGCCAAUACUCCAACCUUUUCUCAAUUUUUUUUUUAAUUUUUAUUCAUCUACCCAAUGGCUGAAUUUAUUUUCAUUAUUAUGUAGGUGUGGUGUUACUAGAAAUCAAAGAAUAGGAUCCUCUCCUGAUCUGAGCCCUACUGAGAUUUUAAAGAUCUUCUGUCAUGUGUCAUUUAGUGGUAGUGUAGGGAUAAGAUUUAACUUCUUUUACUUUUUUAUUUAUUAACUACCAAUCAACAAUUGAAUUAUUUGCUCAGGACAUAAUCAGAUCAAGAGAGAAUCUUGAUCCAGAAAUCAAAUGCUGCCUUUUUUUUUUUCCCCUCCUCUCCUCACUUGUGGUGGAAUAAGGAGAAUUGAACCAAACCAAUAUCCUAAUUACUAACAGAUUUGAGACAAAAUUAACAUUUUAAAAUAUUGCAAACUGGUAAAAAGUCAAACUUUUAUUUGCUACAUAAAUAUAAUCUACUUUACAUAUUAAUAUCAAAUUCGUUAGGUUAAAUUCUAGGUUCAAAUCCUAGCAGCGAAAUUAAUUUCUUUAUAGCUGGCAAACAUAUAUGCACUUUUUUUUCUUAAUUUACGCAGAAGUUUGAGUUAAACUAGUAAAGGAAUUAUUUUCUAAUUAACUUCUUCUUUUUGAUUUUGGAAAAAAAAAAUUGAAAGAAAGAUAGGAAGCUGAAAUUGAAGCCGAAUCAACUGGAGCUGCAUCAAGCAUCUUUUGAAAUUCUUCUUCUUCUUCUUUUUUUUAAAAUUUUUUAAAUGUUAUUGAGGGCAAAUAAAGUCUAUAUGCUUAAUAUUGAACAUAAUUUUUAACAAAUAAAAACUAACACUGACAUUGUGCGAAAUAAAUUGUUUAUAGCUUAACUGGCCCAUUUAGGAUAGCUGCGCCGCCAAACAGGGCUUUGAUUUUAUUGCUAUAAGUAUGCAUUAGAUAUUUUUAAUAGAUUUUCUUGGGUGGGCUGAAUGGUUAAAUAAAUUAAUUUAAAUGAUUUAAAUAAGAUUUUUUUUAUAUUUUAAAAAUUUAUAUAUUAAAAUUUAAUAUAUAAAUAUAUAAAAUAAUAAAGUGUUUAGAAUAAUUUUUAGAGCGCAAACAGUCUUACUCAUUUUAUUUCAUUUUAUUGUUAAUCAAGACUUAAAAGAGUCACUAAACUAAAUCUCCAUUUUCCAAAUCUUUAGGAAGAACGAGAAAAGGUAGCAAAUGCAAGCGAUCCACUGUUCAUCAAUAUUAUCUGGUGUUGUUGCAGAUCAUUUUGUUAUUCUGGUCCAUCAAAGCAUCAAAACAAUUUGCUUGUAAAAAUGAUUGUGGAAAUGUGCAGAUCAUAUUCCCCUUUGGAAUUGGAGAAGUGUGCCACUUUGGUAAGAGUUAUCAAGUAAUAUUCACUCUUCUGGCUCUCCCAAAGCUUUUCAUCCUAGUAUCAAGACGGAAUAUCGUACCGUUACUCCGAAACUAAAACUAGAGUCAACAUUCCUGUAAUUUCUUUGCACACAGUGCUAUACUGCUAUUGCCACAAGCAAUAAUAUUGCUAGAAGAGUCAAUCUAUCUGGUGGUCCUUUCACCUUUCCCUAGGGGCUCAGUAAUUUACAGCUCAAUUUGUUUUAGGUUCAAAAUUGAUGAACCCGCACUUAAUAACUGUACAAAUUGAUAACUUCUUGAUUUAUGAGGACAUAGAAAUUUUGGAACACUAAAUGCAUUUUUCUAAAUUAUGAGAGCUAUUACUGGUUAGGCAUUUCUAUUGUUUGAAGGACAAACCUGUUAGGAACCAGAUCUAGAUUCCUCAUGCUUUGGUCAAACCAUUGUGUAAUUGUGGGACUGGCAAUUCCUUUUCUUUUGUCCCAGUGUCAGUGGUCAUCAAUGAAGAAAAAAUUAUGAAGCUUGUUCGCAGCCUGCUGAAUCUUAGGUUGAAAUAGAGUUGCCUUCUACAUUACUGGAAAAUCUGAUUUUUGUAACUUAAUGAUAUUCUAGUAGUCUGCCUAGAGACCAAUGCAUACUGAUUAAACAACUGGUUUAAAUCAUUAGGGCAUGAUCAGCCCGUUAUCUGGCACUCUUAAACACAAUAGGCAGGGAGGCUUUGGGCAAAUCAUAUUCAAUGAUUAGAAAUGUUCAAAAAUUUCAAGAUAACAAAUACGCAAGCGUUUCAAUUGGACAUAAGUAUUUGGGUUUCUAGUUCUAAUAGAAGUUUCUCAAAGCUAUAUUCUAGUCACUUUACUAUUCUGAAUCAGAAUCAGAACCAGAAUCAGCGGAUGUUUUUCAUUGUAAACUUUUAAUAGAUCUCUUACUUAUUAUGAUUUUAAUCCAAUGAUUGAACUGGAUAAGAGAAAAGGGCUAUGGUCAAUAGGUUCAAUUGGGCUCCAAAUGGCAAUCAACUCAUGACAUUGCAUGAAAUAUACAGCAUGCUUCUUUUGAAAUAUUAUAUAUUCAAAAAUUUAGUGCAUAUAUGCUUAUAUUUGUAUAUUUACAAUGCAAUGCAUAUUAAUAUCAAGGAGGCAGAAAUUGAACAUAUACAUUCAUAAUGCAAUUUUUGAUAAUGGUACGGAUUUUCUUUUCUGGGUAAUAACAUUCAGGGAAAAGAAAAAUAAAUACAAGGUUAAGACAAUCUAAGACAUGAAGCCAGUGAAGCAUGGCUUAGGACAUGGUCAAGUUGUAAAAACUAUGGCUAGGACUAUCUAAUACAUGAACUUGUACUGCAAACAAAUUUAACUGUGGAUGUCAUUGCUUAGGAAUUGGAACUUCAAACAAUGUUCUAAAAACAAUUCUUUCUCCACUAGUUUUUCUCACCCUUUUAAUAUCGAAAGGCAUGGAAAUGGUAUAAAGAUGAUUCUGUUUGUGGUAAGAUUCCUUUCAGGCUAAUUACUAUUUGUGACGUGGGGUGCAGGAAUAUCUAGAAGAAUAUGUUGGAUCUUCUACUAGAAGAGCAAUUUUAUAUCAAGUAAGAACUCUUGUUUUCUAGAUGAUCAUAUAAUUUUAACAAACCUGCUUCCCUUGAAUUUGGAGUAAGAUGCUGUUAGUCUUUAUAUCUCUGGACUUUUCAGCUUGGGUCUGUUCAAAAUUGAGCAUCCAAUAAAUCAAGGCUGACAAAGUUAUCUAAGUCAAGUGAAAUGGUCAAUUAUUCAGUUUUUGGUCUGUUGCCUACAAAAUUAAGUUUUAGUUUUGCUUGCUAUCUGGCUUUUGGUAUGUAGCGUCAAGAGGCUGUAGUUAGAUAACCAAGUAUUUGGUUGACUAUUUCGAGAUUUUUCUUUUUCAAGGUUUGCUUUUUCAUUGGCACCCUCGAUGGAAUCGAUAUCAGUUGAGUGAUUCAGUUGGGCCUGACAAUCUUAGGCUUUCUUUUGGUAAUGGAUAUUUAUUUUAAGAUAAUCAUUGUAGUUUCCUUAACUCGUUACAACAUUGACAAUAUUUAAAGUUCUUAUUUUAUAUAUACCUAUUUUCAAGGAAAAUGCCGAUAGCUUGACCUCAAAUAUGUUACUCACAGGAAAAUGUAAAAGGUAUAUCAGUAACUGGGAUGCAGUCUAAUUAUGGUUUUGAUGGUCAAAUCCACGCCUGCUGGAUGCAUAAAAUGACACAAAAGACAUUCAAACCAUUCGUUCAGCUGGAUUUCUUGUGUCACUGAUUCAUGGCAGGUACAUGAGCAACCAUAAUGCACAUGAACAUAGCUGUAUAAUUGUGUCUAAAUUUAUAUUAGUAAAGUGACAUGCUUUAUGAUUUUAUUAUUUUAAGAUACUUGUAAAGGAAUAUGCAUAGGGCAUACAGGAAUGACAAUUGUUACAAAAUUAAACUUCAUUUUUCAAAUGUCAUUUAGAUGAGUUGAAGUCUGCAAAAUGUUUCUUUAAUAUCAUCAAACUGUUUCACGAAUUAAUAAACUAUAUAAUGUCAAUUAUCAUAAAAGAAAACAAUAUGCUUAUAUAUUCUUGGAUUCUGUAGAUAUAAUGUUAUGAGAUAGGCUCCAAAUACUGAUGGGAAAUUAAAACUGGGUUCUUCGUGAAAAAUAAAAAUAAAAUAAAAUAAAUUGGGAAAAAUUACCUGAAAUGGAAGUCCGUGCUGUGCUUUAUAGUAAAUUGUCAAAGUUUGCAAUCAACCUACAUUUAAUAAGGAGAUGACAGGAUUUGGCAAGAAUUUGGUAUUUUCGGAGUGAAGAGUAUUAGUUUUGUGUCAAUGCUUUUCUUAAUCUCAGACGAUCAAGAGAAUCGUUAUUUCAUUCAUGCACAGACCAGCACAAAGAGAAAACAAAUGUAUACACAUGCAAACUUGAAAAUAGGUUAAUAUACAUCGAACUUAGAAGGUCGUGCAGGAGCCUGGUCAAUAUUUUGGGCAUUUCUAGUAGUGAUACAUGGAUAACUGAAUGUUACAUAACUGAAUUUGAGCAAAAAUGCUAAUUCGCUCCACUGAAUGUAUAGGCAUGAUAUCAUUGCACAAAUCUGUUAUGCAAGGAGACUAGCAGAGAAGCUGAGCCCUGUUGCUAGAAUGAUAGAUCUUCCUGGAGGACAUCUUGUAAGUCAUGAGAGGACAGAAGAGGUAUUUCCUUUGCCCAACAGAUCAGACAAAUAUGCAAGUAGUCCAAUUGGUUGUGUGAGACAUUUACAAUUAAUGAAUUAUUAAAUGGAGUACAGUUGUGCAAACUAAUUGGGAAAGUUUUCUUAUCAAAGUCAGUAAAAAAUUGUCAUAAUCGAAUUUGAUUGAGACAAAAGGGUCCUUACAUUUGUAUUAUGGACAAAAAUCUUCCAAAUAUUGAGGAUUGACCUUGAGUGACUCAAGAUUUUUGAACAACUGGGAUUGAAUUAGAUCUUCACGCGUAAAAUAAUGUUAUGAAUUUAUUGGUAGAAAGAUGUCACAAUGCUUCUUGAAGUUUUACUUUCCUAAAUUACUAAUAUUUGUUUAAUUUUACUUGGCUACAAAUUAAGCAUAUAGACGUUAAACUCUUUCUUGAAAUUUCAGGUCAAUCAAACUCUCAUCGACUUGAUCAAGGCAUCUGAAAAGAAGAUAAGCCCACAAGAUUUGACUAAUCUGCCCCAGACAAGUUCUGGUAAGCACGCCACAAUCAAGAUAGUCUUUCUCUUUUCCAUGUUAUGUGUGGGCAAUAAUGUUAGAGCAUACUUACCUAACAUGGGUUGAAGCUUUUCAUACUGAGUUGUCUAUGAAGAUAAACUCGUGGUUAAUCCAUAGAGUUCCCAUUUUUCCAAUAAUAUGUUCAUGGAUUUGGAAACCUAAGAGUUCCAGAAGGACACAUGAUAACUACUUAAGAGAGCUCAAAUCAACACUGAAACUUUUUCCAGACACAAAAAUCAUCAGUGGUCAACUGAUUUUCAGCUAGGUUAUCUUCCUCUCUGUCUGGUCAGGAUUGAGAGGGAGACAAU
This 59445-nucleotide long non-coding RNA is filed under the name Citrus x clementina. Its description in RNAcentral is "Citrus clementina (C. clementina) long non-coding RNA (CCLE_LNC004032)". The record is from RNAcentral. Lineage: Eukaryota; Viridiplantae; Streptophyta; Magnoliopsida; Sapindales; Rutaceae.